RNAcentral lists this long non-coding RNA (46070 nucleotides) under Brachypodium distachyon (stiff brome). Its description in RNAcentral is "long non-coding RNA (BDIS_LNC003935)". The stretch from base 5190 to 5325 matches the Rfam family "MIR1120/MIR1122 microRNA precursor family". Lineage: Eukaryota; Viridiplantae; Streptophyta; Magnoliopsida; Poales; Poaceae. The record is from RNAcentral.
GAUCUGCAGGUCAUGUCAUAUCAUAUUGUUUUGAUUGUUAUAACAUGAAGUUACAAGCAAAAUAAUUCAUAUUAACUAACUUGCAAUAAGUAUUCUGAAAUUUCACUUUCAAUACAAGUAUAGUUAUUGUGCAUAUAACUUUCGCAUUGCAGAGUAUUUUCUCUUUCCUUAACAGUGAUUUACAUUUGCUAAUGUUACCUGCGAUAUUUAGGAAACUGAAUUAGUAUUAAGCCAUAAAACAUACUUUGCAAAAUGAUCUUGGAUAGUUGGAACUCAAAUACAUCUUUGACACCAUACCUUAACAAAACAUUUCUUUCUUUCAGCUUCUGUGGAUUUUUCCUCUUGUGCGGUAUCUCCGUGCUUCCCAAAGUAUGAUUCUACAAAGGGCAACAAUCCUGUCAAGCCAUUGCUAUCAAUCCGCAGCUUCCGCCCAAGAACUGAAGUCAGUUGUCAAGCAUCUUUAGCAUCGUUCAGUUACCCUGAGUUAUCUUCUAAACCUAAAUGGUGGUGGAGGACCUUGGCAUGUGUACCCUAUCUUCUGCCACUGCACAACAUGUGGUCGCACGCAGAUGCUGUGUACCAGCUUCAUCCAUACUUGCAACAAUUUGGGCUGUUUUAUGCCUUCAUUGAUACAAUGGCAUUGGUCCCUGGAUGGCUUUUUCUGGUGAUCUUCAUGACUGUCUACUUCUUCGUGGUGAGACGGAAGUGGUCCCCACACUUUUUGCGGUAUCACAUCAUAUUGGCCAUUCUUCUUGACACUGGAUCUCAAGCUUUGGCAACCAUGUGCAACUGGAACCCAAGCAUUGUUUUUCAGGGUAAACCAAUGGCAUAUUUCUGGAUGACACUGGCCUUCAUUCAGAUCUUCACAGUUAUUGAGUGUAUGAGGUGUGCGCUUGCAGGCGUAUAUCCUAAUGUUCCAUUUAUAUCCCACACGGCGUUCAUCCAUUCUGAUCUGAACCUGUUCAGAUAAUUGGCUAUUGCAAUGUGCUUUUUAAAAUGUUAGAGGGAUCAAGGAACUGUGUGUGUAGGCAAUCAUGUGUGUGUUCAUUGAACCUGCCUAAGGCAUUAAAAUGGUUGGAGAAUGCAUUCUGGGAUGUAAUAGGGCAUGUAAGGAGAUGCAAUCAUGGAUAACCGUAGUAGCUUGUGUGCACUCUGCAGUGCUGGUAUUGUUAUAGCUACAUGUUUUUAUGUAAUGAAGCUCCAAGGGGAACGUGACAUAAAUUUUGUUUGGCCGAGUUUCCAAAACGGCAAGGAAAUUCUGAUCAUCUUAUUGUAUUUUGUUUCAAUUUCAGAGCCAUUGGACUCUGUUUGCCUGCUGUUGGACUCAAUUUUCCAAAUUGCAAGUGAUAGUUUUCCUUGGACUAUUCUGCAUCUUAUGGUGUUCUGUUUCAAUUUUGGAGCAAUUGGACCCAAUUUCGCUCUUCACCAUGGCAUAAUUCCUUGUGAAAUCAUUCAAAAUGACUAUCUGCUUGCAAUUAAUUAGUUGAGGUAAUCCAGACACUGUAAGGUGGAACUGUACAUGCUAACAUGCGGGUACACACUGUAACACAGGUUACUGAAUCGCUGUGGCCCAGAUGAAGUCUCGGAAGUAUCACAGGAUAUAUGGCUCUCAACAGGAUGUAGGGCUCUUUUUUUUGAAUUAACAGGAUAGAGGGCUCAGUUUCAUGCACAUGUCCCUGUCUUCAAGUUGAAAAAUAAAAUUAAAAAAGCUGAGGAAACGUAAUACUCCCCUGAUCCCAUAUUAAAUUAAGUGACUCAAAUUUGCCCAAAUAUGGACGUAUCUUGCUUAAAAAGCGUUUAGAUACAUGUAAUAGAAAGUCACUUUAGAUAGAUGUAAUAGAAAGUCACUUUAUGAGACGGAGAGAGUAUCAUAUAUGUUCAUGCUAUAUAAGAAGAAAAGUAGAUAGCUAAACACAAGUAGCUCAACAAACAAGAUUAUCAUACACCACAAAAAAUAAGUCUAUGGCACCACUUCUCCAUGUUACCGCAGUGUUGCUCGAUAGUCGAUAACAAGGUGAAGAUCUACUAUUCACAGUUACCAAUGAAAUAUUACAAAUUAAAUAAUCACCCCACUUGGUGGCUGUGAUAUUUGCGAUACAAAAAAAGUAAAGUCAAGGUCUUUUUGCCCAGAUACUCCUCUUUCUGCUUUGGUCUACCCUAUAGAAACAUAUCAGAAAUUAAUGGAAUGUGAUGUUUGCCGCAAAACAAGUAUAUUCAAGGUCAUUCUGCCAGAUACUCUCUUCCUGCUACGACCUAGUCUGCAGAAACAUCUCAGAAAUGAGUGGAAAGAUGUUCAAUAAGAACUAGCCCUUAGAACAGUUCAAUAAUUUCGCAUUCCUAAUCUCAACCCUUAGACUUUCUGAUCAAGUUGUGAUUGUGAUGACAGUAUGCCAUGCUUCUGUGUCUUCUCGCUGGGUAUUAUGUAAACCUGCCGCUCUUUGCCUCCUGGUUUGGACGAGGCAUUCCCGUACCAAACCAUGGCAAUCACUGCUAGGGUCAUGCCAAGUGCGACAUGGAAAUUGAGGCCCUCUUUUCCAAAGAAGAAAAAACCCAGGGUCAACACAAGAAUAGUCUUCAUGUGGCCUAGAACUUGAAACGAGACAGCUGUGAAUCUUCCGAUGCAAAUGAACUGGCUUAGAUUAGUACCAACAGCAAUUAUGCACGACAAUACAAUGAAGAACUGAAAAACAAGUGAAAAAGGAAACAUUAGUGUGCAGUUUGCUCAGGUAAAACUAGUUUAGGUCAAACAAAUACUCUUCCAAAUCGUUAAGGAAGGCCUUUGACCAACAUUUACAUCAUUAGUGUGUGAUUUGUGUGGUACAAAAUCAUAAUCAAGUACUUUUGAAUACAAAUCUAACGACAUCAAUUUUAUGCCCCAUAAAUUAAAUUUAAUGAAGUAUUUGUUGGUCAAAGGCUUGUCCUAACGAAACAAAAUCCACCAUAUUUUAUUUUUUUGCGGAGGGAGCAUCAAUUAAGAGAACUGUUACAAACCGAACUAUGCAUCACGUUCAUAUCAUACAAUUUUAGUGAUAACUGACAGAAAACUCAGAAAGUAUUUAGAAAACUCCAUAUAUGUACAAGAUGCAUCUAUGAAACAGUAUGUUGCCUUUUAUGGUAGAACCUGCAUUAACUAUUCUCAAUCAGGCAUAUUUGACAUAUAUGCUUCUUUACUACUCCUUCCGUUCCCAAAUAUAAGAUGUUCUAGCUUUGUCCUAAGUCAAACUUCCUAAAGUUCGAACAAGUUUAUAAAAACAAUCUACCAACAUCUACACUCUAAAUUAGUUUUACUAAAUCCAUGAUGAUAUAUGUCGUAAUAGUAUACUUCUUAGAUAUUGUAGAUAGUAGUAAAUUUUCCUGUAAACUUGGUCAAACUUUCAAAAGUUUGACUUAGGACAAAGCUAGAACAUCUUAUAUUUAGGAAUGGAGGUAGUAGCAUAGUGGAAAAGUCUGAUAUGAACAUAGGUCCAUAUGCACCCAUUCAUGAGUUUGUAUACUUGUUUACUUCAGAAGAAUCUCAAAAUUCACGAAAAAUAAUAAUCAUGUAUGCACUGUACAGAAAAAACACAGAGAUGUUAAGCUAUAUGACAAACGGACAUUCUUGUCUCUCUUUUUUCUGCUGUAUAACAAUAGAUUACGUUGUACUCGUGACAUAUAGUAAACCUGUGUAGAUGCAUGAUUAAUCUUUUCCCGUAUGAUCAGUUUGCUUACAACAAUUGAGAGGAAAUGAACAUGCACAAUGGAGGUGACUACUGAAAGACACAUUUUCUGUACAGAGGACUCUAGAUUAUACUCCCUCCGUCCCAUAAUAUGAGGCACGCACGCAUACCUAGAUCUUCAAUUUGACUAAUUAAAUAUGCAUGUUUUUUAACAAAAAGUACACCAUUAGAUUCGUUAUCGAAAAAACUUUCUAAUGAUAUAAUUAUUUAAUUUAUAUUAAGUUAGCUAAAUUGACAAUCUAAGGAUGCGUGUGUGCCUCAUAUUAUGGGACGGAGGAAGUACUACUUAACAUAACACAGGACUAAAUACCAUAAAGAAAUAAGAAGGGAAUGGAUCCAGAAUAAGCAUCACGUACCGUAACUACCACCGUAUAAUUAAAAGUAUCGACUCUUUUGUUGGUCAACCAUAAGUCCACAAAAGGACCCAGUAUUAACAAUGAUGCUGCCUGAGCAGGAGCAGUGUGACCCAAGAGAUCAAAGGAGCCAAGUGAGUACUUUCGUUGAAGGUGAUGAACAUACUGCCACACAAAAUAAGGGUAAAUAAUCACAAUUCCCAUUAGGACAUGUGCCAUGUAGAAAUGUGCUCAACAAACGCACAAAUUCUAGAACCCGGGAUACUCACAUGCUGUUGUAAUGCAGUGCUCCAGACAGCUAUUAUGGCAGCUAUCAACCCUUGAGAAUUCACACUAACAUCAGUCACAGUACAAACAGCAACGCCUACUAGGACAAGCAUUAUACUGAGCUUUGUAUCUCUUGAAUAACGGACUUUGUCAAACAAGAUUUCCAGAAAGCACAAAACUGGAAUGAUACACAAUUUGGCAAUCUGAAACAGCAGAAUGUGCAAUUUAGUAUUCGCACUCCAUUUUAACUAACAUUUCAUUGCAUAUUGAAGAACUCAAUUACUGUAUUCACCUGAUAGAAGCCAACAGAGUUCCACAUCAAACUAACAUUCAUGCCAACAAUUGACAGGUUUGCAAAGAAGACAAAUUUUACUAGUUCUGGCAAUGGUAAGUAGGAGGGCUGAAUAUAUCCCAACCAUUGCAUUACUAAUGUCAUCAAGGUUGUGGUUGCAAAAUGUAGCCCAGUUAAUGUAGUAGCUGUACAAUCAAACCAUAGCACACAACAUCAGUACAAGAAAUCUGAUUUCUUUUGCUGCAUAAUCAUAGUUUAGCUCUAGAGCGAAGUGAUAACACAGGGAAUGGCAUCAAAACAAAAAUGAAUAUUAAACCAUUGUCUCACCAAAACUAAAACCAUGUGUAGCCAUUAAGGCCUUGUUGACCAUGAUUAUACCCACUGAUGUUACAACAUUGAACAUCCAUGCUCCAGCAUCUAUUGCUGCUUUUCUCUCGGCCUUGCUUCCUGCUGCCAUACUUUCUUUUCAUGUAGGGUCUGAACCAAUUUUCAAAGUAGCAGAAAGUGCACCUUCAAUACAAACCGUAAUCAAGAAAUAAGUACAAGUCAGCAUUCCAAAAUAAUCUACUCCCUCCGUCCAACAAAGGAUGUCUCAACUUUGACCAAAUUUGAAUGCAUCUAUGCACUAAGUCAUGUCUAGGUACAUCCAAAUUUUGACAAACUUGAGACAUCUUUUGUUGGACGGAGGAAGUAGAAGUCUUAAAUUUUGCUUUGGCAGAGUUAGCAAUCAGUAAAGAACUGUUCCAUAAACUGAAUGCACAUAUAGUAGCACAAAUGGAUAUAACUGAUGUAAAUUUCAAAUAUUGGUGACUGAAUAAGAUACAAAAUUCAAGCACGAGAGAACUUCUGAAAAGCUUAACACAUGGAAUUCGUACGAAUAAGCACCAACAAUUAUUCAUUCAAGACUAUACAUUCUGUCCUAGCUGGAUCUGCAAUUUUGUACCUUCCCCCUAAAUUGAAAGACAUGUUAACGAAUUCGAACGGAGCUAAAAGAUAAGUGCACAGGGGAUAAAUUCGAGGAUAGAUCAAACAUGGAAACUAAUGUAAUACCGCUAGCAAUCUCUGCAUUUAUGCUCGGAGGACCCAGUAGGGCAAGGUAGGGCGGCCGCCCUACCUUGAUUUUUGCCUCAGACACGAAUUAGGAGAGAUUAAGGAGAUAAUACGGGGAGAUACAGAGCAGAAUCAAUUCUUGGGGUGAUGGGAGGAGAAACGGUCGGGAGCGAUAGAAUCGAAAGGGAGAUCAACCGGCGGCGGCGCUUGCGCUACUGGAAUCCAGUCGUGCGCGAGGAGGGAGACGAGCGAGGGGGGUGGGGCGCUCCGCAGCAGAUGACCAGACGGUCCCAGACCCAGAAGGAGGGACGGGUGAAGGGAAAGACAAAAAGAGAGAUACGGAGUAGUUUAUGUUUUUUCAGAAACAUAUGGCUUAAUAAACAGAGAGAAAACUGAAACAUAAACAGAUACUCGUGAUCUCAUGCUCCUUCCAUCCAACAAAAGAUGUGUCAAGUUUGUUAAAAUUUGGAUGCAUUUAGAUAUGACUUAGUGUAUAAAUGCAUUCAAAUUUGGUCAAAGGACGGAGGGAGUAUGAGAUCACGAGUAGGUUUGGAUUUUUCUUUUCUUUCUGAAACAAGCUUCAAGAUAGGUUUGGUGCGGAGCUUACUUCACAAAACCCACCAACCACUCGGCACUCUGCAGUCUACAUGCAUUACACGAUCGUAGUAAUAUCUUGCCUUCCAACCGAGAUGUCAUCCUCUCCCCAGGUGCAAUACUCCAAAAUCUGAUGAUAAAUUCUGCAACAAGUUUUGCAUUGUCAGAGAAUUUAGAAAAAUAUCUCGCAUGUCAAUGCCCAAGUCUUUCAACUUUGGAGGAUCUUCUGAGUACUACUGUCUCAACCCAAGCAUUUAAGGAAAGCUUGUAGCACUGAAUAAGUACAGUUGGUUCGGUACGGCAAAAUGCUUAAAUCCCUUAAACACUGGCAGGAGUAAUGCACAAGAUUGCAGAUCACAGAUAGCCAGAUAUGUAAACGGUAAAUUAAACUGAUUGUCUUGCGGUGCCAAAGCGAUGACCUUUUCUCCUUUAAUCAAGUCAGAUUUAUCAUUUAUGUUGUGCUGCACAUCUCUCGUGUGCAGUGCAGGACAGACAACUUAUGGCCAGUUCCUUCGCUUCCGAGACAAUGAACUGACGGCAUGUAAGAUUCGGCGCCUUGGUCUUAAACAUCUAAAGUUGACAGCAUCUUUUGACCAAAUUGUCUCCAUUAGCCUACGAACCAUGAUCCCAGUGCCGCCACGUCGAUUUCCCAGGAAGAAAACUAGUCAAUUAAUAUGCUAUUGGAAUAGGUAGUUCAGGUUGCUCUUCACAGGCUCCACAGCAACAAGAAUUUAGUAGCACUACUCAUGUAGAUACCAAAGAAACAGAGGCACAAAAGUGUACUUCAGGGGAGAUAAAGCUUAGGAGGAAGGAGAGCACUUCCUUUCCGGCCGUGGGGUCGUGUAGUACUGUGGUUGGACAGAACUUAACAGCCCAACCGCUUGAGUUGGGAGAAUUUUGGCUUUGAGCUUGACACCAUGCCUUCUUCCCUCGACCCAGCGCCUUCUCUCCGCUGCCCGCCUUGCAGAGAGAACCACUCGCGCUGCAAGCUUUCCUCUGUUCGCUCCGACCCCUCAACGCGCCGAUUAAACUGCCUACACCUUCACCUUAUUGCCAACAAGAUUGUGGGCUGGAGAAUGGAGAUAGAGUGCCGGGAGUGUUCUUCCCUUCACUAGCUGGUUGUCUACUUGUCUUAGGCAUCUGUGGUAUAUCACGGAUUUAAGCUGCUUAUCCAGGUUGGUACUGGAGUAUGUUCGUUACCUCUGUUUUGUAUGAUUGCAUCAAUUUUCGGCUUCUUUGCAUUUGGUUUAUUUUCUGCAACUUCAUUAUCUAUCCAGUUUUGCAAGUGUUCUAUUCACAAACUUCAGUUCAAACAGUCUGACAGGUCAGCAUAGCGAAUUCUAAGUGUUUUACGUAACAAAGUCCAUUCUUCGCCCUCUAUACAUCAACAAUUACCAAAGUAUAGGUUUCCUGACUCGCUCUACUUUAGAACCCAAAAUAACAUAUCCUCAAGCGCAUAAAUAAUCCUCAGACCAAUUCAAAUCAGUUUUGACCGGAGAAAGUUUUAAAGAUUACCUAGUUUUGAAUACCAUGGAAAGUGCAAACUCAAACAAAGUCUGUGGUGGUCAAUGAAAUAAAAUAAAAUAAAAUAUGGAGCAAGUGAAAGGAUGUAUCACAUGUGGGCCCAUCCAUAUUAUUUUCAUUUAUUUAGUUAUUUUGAAAGCAAUGCGGUCGUGAUAUGGUGGGCAAUUGGUGUCACGUUGGUAAAACCGGGUUUUGGCAAUAGUCGAUAUGUGCAAUACUUUUCCAUAUGAAACGAAUAUACAACUUUGGCAACAACGAUUUGAUUUAUAGGUAAAAAAAACUUUAUACUUUCACUCAACAGCCGGUGUUUCUGAAAAUAAGCUCAAGUUAAGCAAUUGGGAUGUUGAGUUGCAUCUAACAAAUGCUAAUGAUGGUUGCUUUAGAAUUCUCUAAUCUUUUUUCAGAAAAGCACAGAAAUAGAGACACACCAACUUUCUGAGAUUACUUGGUUUUAUGGCAAUUCUAGAUGUAUGAUGCCCAAUUCCCUGUUAUAAAGGAAUAGUAACUCUAAAUUAAAUGACCAAUCCCAAAUUUUGCAAAAUGUCCUCUUGGACCCUUUAACUACAAAGUCACCCUUCAAAUACUUAGUUCCCUAAAAAUCUAACUUCUUCGAUGUCAAUAACAAAUAUCAUUCCCUAUUCAAUAUACCAAAUUAUCAAGUCAUGUAAGUCCUUAUAGAAAAAAAAGAGUUCCGAAUCAGCUCAAGGUGUAUCUUGAUUUAUCUUUUUUACAGCUAUGCGUGCAUUAGUGAUCCAACUGUUUAGCAGAUCUUUUGGAAAGUUCAAGCAGAAAAAUUGGAGACUUUUUUACUCUUAUAAAAGGUUUAGUUGGUAGUGCAGUGGUCAUUACCUUCGGAUCGUGUUAUUUUUCUUGCAUCAUUUGUUAAUUUGUCACAAAUCAUUAAUAUUAAAACGAAUAUGAAUUGUAUUGCCCUAAAAAUGAUUUGUAUGACUUAACAUAACAGAACAUAAAUAUAAUAUUUUCUUUAAUAUGUAUUUUUUGUUUAGUCCUUAACAACGCAAAGGUUCCUGGUAGAGUGAUAGUGUUCGGUAAGAACUAAGAACCGUACUUGUCCAUUUGAAUCAUUUUUUUAUUUUGUAUUUUUGGAGAAUCAAACGGGCAGGUUGUCACAUGACGAAUUAAGGUGGAUAAGACAUGAGAGUGACAAGCUAAGACAGUUGCUCUGACGAAGAGUGAUCGGUGAUACAUCUCGAGGGAAGGACUAGGAAGCACACAGGAACAAAUGGCCGAAAUGGAGGACGCCUUGAGAUCGUGCAUGGAGCAGCUGCUGAUCGCGAGAGAAGAGCGGGAGCAAAUCAUCGUGGAAGCAGCCAGCGAGAUAUCCGCCCAGCAAAAGAAAGCACGCGACCUGCAGCACAGCCUCGACUCCGCGAACAGGAAGGCCGCGAAGCUCGCCGCCGAGAACAGCGGCCUCUGCAAGGCCAUGGACGCCAAGGACAAGCUGGCCAGGGAGCUCAGGGAAUCCAAGGCAGCCUCGGACGAGAAGGCCGCGAAGCUCGACGCGACGCAGAAGCAGGUCGCGUCGCUGCAGUACGAGGCCCGGAUGCUCCAGAAGGCGCUGGAGGUGCGGAGCCAGGAGCGGGAGUACGACCUCAAGUCCGUGGACGCCGCCCGCGCGCAGCAGGCGGAGAGCGCGAAGAAGAUCGCGCUGCUGGAAGCCGAGUGCCAGCGGCUGCGGGCCAUGGUCCGGAAAAGGCUUCCCGGGCCGGCGGCCUUGGCCCAGAUGAGAGACGAGGUCGAGCCGCAGCAGCAGACCGGGCCCGGGCCCAGGGCCAGCCCAAGAAGACAACGGUCCGCCAUGCCGAUGACGCCGCGGCGUGCUCCGGAGCCUGAUUUUCAGAGUUACGCAGUCAGGUUACGCGCCGUGGAGGACGAGAACAAGGCCCUGAAGCGGGUGCUGGCCACGAGGGACGCCGAGCUGGAGAUCGUGCAGAUGAAGUACGCCGACGAGGCUCGCGAGCUCUCGGCGGUGAAGGGGCAGCUCCUGGAGUUGACGGAGGAGAGUGAACGGCUGAUGAGCGAUGCUCAAGCGAAUGCGAAGUCACAGUCGUGGGCCUCUGCUUUAGUCUCUGAACUGGACCAUUUCAGGGCCGGGAAGCAGGGACAGGGAGCAGCGUCAUCCGUUUUGGUGUCUGAGUCUGACAUGAGCUUGUUCGACGAUUUUGCUGAGGUUGAGAGGUUGGAGAUGGCAUCAGGCGAUCAUCAAACAUUGUCGGGACCUUCCGGUGUGCCGCGGCAAGAUGCGCAGAACAAGGCAGAUUCAAGAUCGGUUGUUCCAGAGAAAAAUGGCAAGGAGCUCGUCCUAGAUGGCCCUGUGUCCAAUGGCCAUCCUGAAUGGGUGCAGGAUGUUUGGAAACUCGUCACGCGUAAGCAUGAAGCAAGCGGAGAAAGCAUCGACGCCAUUCUUGAGGAAAUAGCUCGUGCAUUGGAGCAGAGCCAUGUUCAUGCGAAAGGAGAUGAUUCUGAUGUGCUGUAUGACAGGACCAAAGUGGAAAAAAUGAUGAGCAAUCUGGUUGAAAAAAUGACUGUCGUUAUUCGCGUUCCCGAGGAAGACAAUGCUGCAAGAUUUGGAUCAUCGCUGCACGAAAAGUCUGAAUUUCGUGCACGCCUCGAGUACCUGAUUCAUGUCUGUCAUGAUGUGCUACAGAGGAAAGCCAAGCUUGAAGAUUUCAUUGACGAGGUUUGCCUGGUACUGGAGCAUAUAGUGAGUCAGUACUUCUCAAGCCAAGUUCGACUGGGUGCGGUGGAAAAUAAUGCAAAGAGUUUUGAUGGAGCGGAGUCGCUAAGUACAGUCAAUACACAUGGUGAACAUGACACGCAGAGUGUAAUAUCAGCAGCAGCUCCAGAUGUCCAAACAGAAGCACAUACAGAACCAAUUCAGUCAUCAGAAGGUCAGCUUCCUGAUAAAAUUCAAGAGAGACGUCCUAAUGAAGAACUUGCAAUAGUUGUAGUUGAUCAGGAUGAUGAUAUUCAGCCAGGGAGGAUGUCAUCAUACUAUGAGAUAGAAAGGUACGUAGUAACUAAUGAGGCAACUACAUCCACUAAAAAUAUUACUUACAUUCAGUAAUUUCAAUUAUGAUAUCUAUUCUUCCGCAAUGCAGAUCCAGUCAUGAUGGAAGAGGAGAAGGCUUGGCACAACAAGAGGGAAAACAACUAGCAACAGUAAGUUUCAUGCUGCUCCUAUAAUUUUUUUUGAGUAAAAGCAACAAGAACAAAAAAACAUUCUGACAUAACCUUUUUUUAACCUGAUAUGUUCAUUUCACCCCUUUCUCAUUUUAUGUAAACGUUAUCUGAUAUGUUCAUUUCACCAUUUGAUCUUUUGACCUAUAUCACCAUCAGGAGUAAACUGAACAAUAUUUUGCCCUUCAAUGCAGAACUCAGAAAUAUCAGCAGCAGCUGACAAGCUUGCAGAGUGGCAGGAGACCAUCACAAGCCUAAGCAAACAGUUGCAGGCUCUUCAGAGCAUGCCGAAUUCAGGACAUCUAGAUCACCCGGUGUACAGCCCCAGACCAAGCUCGGUCGACUACAAGCCCAAGACACUCGGCAGCAUCCUCGCUGACGAGGGCACCAGCACAACCCAGGGUUCCAAUUCUCCUACGCCCGAACAAGCGCACUCCAUGGAAGAACAUGGCGAGCCUGACGCUGCAGCACGAAAGAGUGUGGCAGGAGAGCAGAAUCCUGAUGCCGCCAGUAACGGCGACGGCGAUGAGCCUACGCAGAUUGUUGUCUAUCAUCCAGUGUUGCCGGAGCUGCGGCAUGAUGGGGUUCCUGCUGAUCCUAAGAAGAAGAAGCGGGGUCCGAGCUUGCUGGGCAGGAUGAUAUUCAGGAAGAAAGUGGAAGGCAGCUCGUAGAUUGUGUUGUGUUGGCGGAUAUAUACUGUGGUGGUAUGAGCGUGAGAUCUGACUAGUGCUAGUGUCAUGCGACCAGCAAUUUGGAGCUCUGCAUUCCUGCUCCUGGUCUGCGUCCUUUUCGGCCAUAUAUUCUGUUGCAGAACCUGAAGACUGAGAAACUCUAGCACUUGCCCUGCCCCUGUAUCGUUUUUUGUUGACAUGAACAUGUUUUUCGUUGUGUAUUUAUGGAUUGCGUGGUUAUGUAAGUUAUUGUUGAAUAAAGUAAAUCAAUAAAAAACAGUAAAAACAGUAUGCAGUUGUUUGCUACAUUUUAAAACUCAGUUGCUAAUAUACACAAAUUAUUUGAGUUUAUCAAGGGCAAAUGCUAUUGAUAGAUUUAUCAUCAAAAGUAUUUCCAUGUCAUUCUUUAUUUUAAUAUCUAAAUAUAAAAUAGUAAUGAACACAUGGAUAAAUAAGAGAUGGUAUCAAUGUAAAAAAACCAAAUAAAAAAGAAAGGAGUUAGCCUGCAUUUAGGACCGAUUUGUUUAGUUAGAAAUUGGACCUUUAUUACUGAAAAGGAGAGAGUAUUAACAGGACAACUAAAGCAAGCUUUGACAAUUCAUACUCCCUCGGUUCCAAAAUACAAGACACAUAUAAUUUUUUGUUGACCGCCAAGCUUGUUAAAGUUUGAACAAUUUAUAGAGAAUACGAACAACAAUUAAAGUUCCAUAUCAAGAUCACUAGAUUUAGCAUGAAAUAUAUUUUCAUACUGUAUUUAUUGAAAAUAGUACAUGUUAACAUUUUUUUUUAUGUAUAGUUUGAUCGAAGUCUAGAAAAUUUGACCAUUAACAAUGUUAUACCUAUAUUUUGGAACAAAGGGAGUAAUAUUUGAAUAUUACUGAAGUUAAAAAAAGAUAAACUCAGACACACUUUAUUACCGAUGUCUCAUCACAAACUCCGUACUACAGUAACCAUUCAGGUUAGAAAGCACAUUCUGAAUUGAGUUCUUCUGAGUUUGACAACAUUCAGAACUGUGGUUGAAACCAUUACAAACUGAGAGGCAAGCUGAAGCAUUGAUAUCCCUGUUGGUAUAAUUUCAGCUACGGAAUGCAAAAGCAUCUCAAGAUUCUUUAGGUACGGUAAGGUGUCAGCAAGUGCUCAUCCCAAGAAAGGAUCACUCUCACAUGAAGGUGAUCCUCUGACUUCCAUUACUUAAAGCAAUUGAAUAAUUCUACUCCGUACGAUCAUGUCGUUGGUGAUACAUGCUUAUCCUACAUACAUCAUGAUUGGCCACCCAAGCUGAUCUCGGCAAAAAAGAAAAGAAAAUAAAGAGAAGCCUAAUUGGCCUGGAUCUCACCUUCUACCAGCAACGACGUCCCGUCCAAGUUACAGAGGACGGACGGCCAUAUUCUAAAGGCGGCUGAGCGGACAGAAUGCAACGCCACUGGGUUCCCAGACACUGACCGGUCGCAAACUAAAAGGAAGAUCAGCAUCUGCCUGGUGCUGUAGAAUACAAAAAGGACACCACUGCAUCCGCGUGCAAUAGCAAAUUCGCAGCACUGUUAGUAUAUCGCCUGCGCCUUGAUGUCACUGGUGAUAUUUGAAUUAUCAUCGUUCCGGCAGAUCGGAUAGGUCCCAUCCGGAGUUGCUCCAGUGACGCCUGGGACGGCAAGACCUUUUGGCUUUGUCCCUUUCCGUCUUUGAUUAUCUCCUGAUUUAAUUUGAAGAGACUGACGGCAACUGAUUGUCACUUCUCCAGGUCUGCUGUACUCUCUGAUCUGUACUCUACUUCUUUUUGGCUGGAUACCGUCAUUCGGCAGCUAGCAUAGCCCAGGUUUCUUUUCUCGGGAAUCCUUGCGCUACGAGGAGCCAAAUGGCACAACUUGGGGAAUGGUUCGGAUGCUUUUCCGUCGGCUUUGGUUUGGUGGUAGACCUGGAGUAAAUCCGGCGGUUCCUCCGCCACAUGGUUGGUUCUGUUGAUAGGCGUGAUCCGUGAGGAUGCUUGCACUCCGGCUUAUCCAAAUUCCCAUUUCUCAAAUUCUUUCCGUGCCGUGAUUUUUCUGUCGUGACACCAAAACAUUCCACGCCUUUAAUGCAAGCUCGCGCUUGACGAGUCCACGUACUGCAACAAAAAUAAAAGAAAAGACCAUGGACAAUGCUUAAACGCCUUUCAUUUUCAAGUAUCAUGGUGGGCAUUGAAAGUUAGACAUUUGUACCUGAAAAUUGGGCUCGAGCUAAAGUUUAGAAUGCUUCAAAAAUUAUAUAUUUCAGCCAACUUUUCACAAAUCAGAAAAAUAUUUACUAAUUCAAAAAUCUCUAGCUACUGUCCACAGUAAAAACGUGGAAAAUUCAGUCAAAUUUUUGCAUAUCUUGUCAAUGUGUGCCGUUGAAAUUUUGGGACACCAAUACACGUUGCAUCUUCCACUGAUGUAUCAAUCGGUAGCACUGAACUGGAGCUUUGUAGUAAUAAGACCAAGUUUAGCCAUGUAAAUGUGUAUCAUGUGGAAAAUUACUUUCCAAUUAAAGCGUUUUCCCGCACCUUGCCUUGCUCCCCUUUAUUCCAAAUUCUACGUACUUACAGAAGCUAUUUAGAGUUAGUAUUUACAACCUCAAAAGAAAAGUAAAAAAGGUUGAAAGUGGAAAAGAGAGGACGAAUCAUAAGCUCAUCAUAUAAGACAAGCUUUCAAUCCUUUCGAUCUACUAGUUCCACUUUUCACAGCAUCUAGAUAAACAAACAGGGAGAAGAUCCAACGACGGCCAUGGAAAAACCUGCAUCUCCUGCGGUGUCCUAACUCCUAAGCACGUGUCAGCAUCGGCAUCACCGUUGGCCAUUAAUGCCGCUAAUUCCUGCUUGACCAACGAGCCACCUGCCGCUAUCCGUUUCGUGUCUCAAUCUCGCAAUGAGAUCUCGAAGAGGUCGGAAUCGGGCUCGAGGUCGCCGGCCGCCGAGGCGCUGUCCUUCCUGCUCCUGCUGACCCGCGAGGUCUCCGUCCAGCCGGAGGAGUCGACGCGGCCCAUGGAGAAGAGGUCGCCGCUGUCGUCGAAGUCGAGGCCGCCGCCCAUGGAGCCGCUCCGGCCGUCACCCGAGGACGCGGAGCGCACGAAGCACGGGUUGGGCGUGCGGCGCGCGUUGGCCGCCGCGUACCGGAACUUGCUCUGCCCGAGGUUGACCAGCGCCAUCACGUCGAAGCUGGACGCCAUGGCCGGGUACAGCGGGCAGGAGAAGGCGUCGGCGUUGCAGCUCACCGCGUGCGCCAGCUGCCCGUCCACCGUGAAGAACACCUUCCGCUUCGCCGGGUCGAAGCCGCAGCCCACCACCUUGUCCACCCCCGCCCACGACGAUUUCGCCGAUUCGUACGCGAGCUUCAUCCCUGAACAAAAUCAAAAAAACUCUUCAGUUCAUGGAACCGUCGUGGCAACGCUAGAAUUUCUCCUCGAAACAGAGUGCGCUUAAUUAUUACCGUCGAGGUAGACGGCGCCGUUGGAGUGGAAGCCGAUGGAGGACGCGUAAGUCCCGGCCAACGACGGCCGAGACGGCGACCCAGCGGCGAGGCCCAGCGACAUGACCAAGUGCCUCUGCUUGUGGUCUCGCCGAUCGUCGUCUUUCGUGGCUCUGCUUUCUUGGACCGUGUCCUUGGUGUUGGUAAUAUCCGGUGCGAAACUGAUGAGCUUGAUGCGGUCGCUCUCGACGGAGCCGUCCUGCUGCGCACGCCUGCUCCCCGCCCGAGACGCCGACGACCACUCCGGACGCCGCGUGUUGAGGUAUAUGAUGGUGAUCUCGAAGUAGGCUUCCUGCGGGAACGGCGCGCCGGCCAUGGGCGGGCCGGGGAGCGGCAUGCUCAUCCUGGCGACGCACAGCGCGUUGUUGCUGCUGUUGUUUGUCAGAUCCUGGUGGUCGCUAGUGCGGAGGGGGCUCGUGAUGCUUCCAGGAAGCCACUUCUUGCCUGACGCCGCGGACGCAGCGGACGCGGCCGCCGGGUUGAGCCGCACGGCCUGGAGCCGCUCGGACGAGCCCGCGGGCACCUCCCACGCGGCCUGGUCGGCCAUGUCGCGGCUGGCCCCGGCGUCGCAGACCGGGCAGAGCCCCCAGAGCGGCGACGACGACGCGGACGUGGACUUGGCCCGGGACACGGAGAACACGAACUGCGCCCACCCGUUCUCCGCCGCCUCGAUCACCAGCCGCGGGUGGUCGCCCCACUGGAACGGCCCUUGCUGCUGCUGCUGCUGUCCUCGGUGCCUCGAGGCAUGGUGCUGGUGGUGCAGCUGCUGGAACCGGACGCCCACGCGGCCGCUGCUGGCGUUGUACUUGGCGUUCAGCUUCGCCAGCCCGGGGCUCGCCGACAGGUCCGCCGCGUGGCCGCCGCCGGCUCCGCCGCUCGCCACCGGUAGCUCCGGCGGCGCGUUGCGCGGCGAGCGCUGCUGGAGCCGGUACACGAAGAACGCGGCCGCGACCAGCGCCGCGACGGGCAGGGCCACGCCCAGGAGCAGCGUCCAUAGCGCCAUGUAUAUAUACGCGCUACUGCUACUGGUACUGGGGGAACCGGAGCCGCGCCUGCUGCGAGGUGGACAUGGAGAACAUGAACGUGAUGGCCGAUCUCUGCUGGGGUUUCGGGGCGCGGGUUUGGGUGGAUUCUGUUCUGUUUUUGUGCGUGUCGCGGAAUGCAGCUGAGUUCUUGGGAUGGGAGCGGGGGAUUUGGGGGUUGGUCUUGCUAGGCCGGCGGGGGAGGAAAAACUUGACCGCCUCAACGGAACAAGCCAACGGAUUGAAUUGAGGGCAGCCGGGGAACACUUGUAAAUUGCGUCACAGCGGCAACGGCGCUGGCUUGCUUGCUAAACGGGUUCUGCGACGGGUAAAUCGGCACGUCAUGCCCUGUUUUUGCAUUCUUUCUUUUUCUUUCUUUCUUUCUUUCUUUCGGUUUUGCUGUUAGGUUGUUGAUGUGAUAUGUGAAUGUUUUUACAUGUGUUCCAACUUCCAAACCUCCAGACUGUUGAGUGCAAAGUACUUUUCUUUCGACCUAUAAAGGGUAGCAAGCAACAACGUUUUUUAUUUUAUUUUGAGAGAAGCAACAACGAUUUUGCAUUCGAAUAAGAUUAUUUUUGGUUAUUUCAGUUUUCAGUGAGAUUUUGUAAACCGAGAUGUUAACACUCGCCGUGCGCAUUAAAUUAGAAACCUGCCCCGCCCUCCAUUGCUGCCCGCCUAAUUAGUGAAGUUUAUUUAUUUUGAUUCAGCUUGACUGGAUGCAGCAGUGGUUGAAGGACGCAUACGUAGUCAAAUAUCUGCUGCGACAUUAAUCAGAAACGGUCUGCCCUCGUUGCCUUGCCUAGUGAAGUUUAGUCAGCUUUGAUAUAUGCAUCAUCCAUUUAAAAAAUUGUUUUGAGGUAUAUGUAGAAUUGCAAUCUGUACUCAUUAACAAAUGUAUUCACCCACCAGAUCUGCGUCAUUGAAGAGGGGUUGGUCAGUUACUAUCACUGUCGUAGUCACUAGGAUAAGCUAAAUGAUCUUAGUCUACCAAGUACUCCUACCAACGGAAGAGCUCAAAGCGUAACUUUCACCUACCUCUCUUAUUUCUCGAAUACUCCUUCCGUUUGGGUUUAUAAGGCUCUUAUCGAAAUUCUUGUCACACUUUGACAAACAAUUAUUCAAAUCAUAUUUAAAUUUAAUGUCCAGAAGAGAAAUUUCAGAGUAACUAUAACAAGUAGGAGAAUAAUCGUUUGCACAUGUAUUCUAGAAGCAAUGUAUAUUCUCGUAUUUAAAUCUUUUCUUCUGCGGGCACUUAUUUAAAUCAUUUUGUCGGUCCUGUCACCUUGUUUGUAGUAUUAUGAUGGGUGUGCAAUGUGCCAUGUAACAUUUGGAUGUGAAAAUAUGCCGAGAGACUUAAAUAAUAUUCAGAAAUAUUUGAACUUUUCCCCAAACUUAUAAUCUCAAGUUACCAAAGGACUAAUCAAUGUAUUUCAUUUACAUUUUUCAACCCAGAAGUGACUUGUAAAUUCUCUAUGUUUUUUCCCUAUAAUCCAAAGAGCCCUUUGAUUCCAUUCUCGGUGUUUUAGUGGUUUAUUAAGAGGCACAAAAAACGGGUGGAUGUAACAGAAGCACAGAACACGUGAGAACAUGAGAUACCAAAUCCUAAGAAAAGUAUAUGUUCCUUUUCUAAUGUCGGUGUCGCAACUAACGUCAGAAAUGCAGGUCUAAGUGGUUCGGGUUAGCACUCCUUGACCUUUUUGUGAUUCCCUGCUUCUCUGCUUGAGUGAGUAAUCAAUAGGAAUGCAGUUUCUGCAUUACAGUACGGAAUAAUGGAAAGGGUAUGUGUUAAGAGUCCGUAUCGACCAUAGUACUACGUACUGUGGGGCUGACGAUGGGCCUGGUGGCAAACUGAAGAAGAUUACAGCAAAGCCAUAUUGAAAUUAUUCUAGAUAAAUAAAACUGUUUUCAUUUUGGAGAAAUAGUAUUGCCUGCUGUAUAGUAGAAACUUGCAUAUGGAUAGUAGCUCAAGUACGUCCCUUCAUCGACAUAUUUAAAUUGCAUCGACUCGAGGUUGACCAUGAAGACGCCGCUCUCAUCCGUGUCCACAAUAAUCACGUUGCUGUCCUCAUCAAAACCCCGGAUCAUAGGUUUCUCCAUCCAAGAUCGUAGCUCAAGGAGCUUGCCCAGAUCGACUGUAUUCUGAAGCACCCAUGUGGCAGUUCCAUCACAAUCCCAUAGUUCCAUGUUUCAUCCCUGUCAAGAUGGCAAGGGACAAAGGGCCUAAAGAGCCCAGCCCCCGCGUCGUCCUCCCCGGGCGACUCGGGGGAACCCUAGCCGCCGCCGGCCCUUGAGGCCCUGUCCCCUUCCUCCCCCACCUCGCCGCCACCGGAGGGGGCGCCGGCGAAGCCGUGCACCUCCGGGGAAGGUGGCGGCGGGGCGUUUCUUCUCUCUCUCUCUCUCUCUCUCUCUCUCUCGGCGCCCUCCAGAUCCGGGUUGCGAUGGAGGCGAGGCGCGGGCGUGGUCGCUGUGAGGGCGCGCGGCGGAGGCCCGGCGGGCGAGUCUGCGGUGGCGGCGCGCGGCGGUGAUCCGGCAGGCGUGGUCGUGGUGGGGACGCGCGGCGGAGGACCGGCAGGCGAGUCCGCGGUGGCGGCGCGCGGCGGUGAUCCGGCAGGCGUGGUCGUGGUGGGGACGCGCGGCGGAGGACCGGCAGGCGAGUCCGCGGUGGCGGCGCGCGGUGCUUGUGGGGAGGCGCGCGAUGCUCCUUUGAUCUGUGGGGCUGCGGCCGGCUACGCGCGGCGGCCGCCGAUCUGCAGGGGCUGCGCGGGGUGGCCGUCGGUGUGGCUCGAUCUGGGGGUGGAAGCACCAGAUCCGGGGCGGGUGGUGCUGGAUCCGGUUGGCCGCGUGGCUGAUUUGCGGUGGGAUGCGUGGAGGCCGCCGUCCGCAAUGCGGCGGGCCCAUUCUGGGCCUGGCGGGCCAUGGCCAUGCCGUCCUGUUCCGCUAAUUGUGUGGCCAGGAUGGUGGGGCCUGAUCCGGUGCGGGGGGCGGUCGCGGAGUCCUGGCCGGUGCCCGGUGGUGGUUUGGCGCGUGGCAUUCGGCGAGCUUCGCCGGCGCUCGCGGUGGUGAGGUGUCCUCUUGUCAAACUCGGCUAUUCGCUCCUGUCCGUGGUGGUUUUGGCGGCUGCGGGUGAAAACCCUGCAUCGACGUGGUCGGUGCCGGCGACGACGGCGUCCUCGGACGUCGCUUCCUUCUUGAAGGCGUCGUUGCGCAGCUUCGCCACUUACCACCCUUCGCAAACGAGGUGACUCCGAGCGAAAGCUCUGAUCCGGUUUUCGGGUCGGGCAACGGCGACGUCCUCGGACGCCGCGCCCUUCUUGGAGGCGUUGCCUUUGGAGAUCUCGUUUGGCGGCGGAGUUUGCUUGCUAUGGUCCUGGCCAAGGAGGACAACUCCGUGCUACACGGGCUUGCCGAUGUGCGAGCCGUUCCGUCGGGACAACCUCUUCUGGCUCCGGUCGUCGAAGGAGCCCCGCUCUGCCUACCUUCUUCUGGCGCAAGGAGCCGUUCCCUGUUCGGCGUCAUUGGAGCGGAGGAGGUAUUCGUCUUUGCGGUAGCGGCUUGUUUUUUCGGUUCCUGUGUAUGCUCUUUGUCAGGGUUUUCCACACGGCUUUCCUUGAAUAAGCCGUGUAUUUGUAUCGGUUUUUGGGUCCGGUUUCCCUCAUAAAUAGGGCCAACUUUAUUCUUCUAAUCGAAUCACGUGGAUCGACCGUUUCGUCUAAAAUAAAAAAAGAUGGUAAGGCCAAGCCUGGUUUCCUCUGUCCGUAGUACCUGAAGGUAUGACCUUUUGGGGAUAGCAUGGGAGUUGGCUGGCUUCUCAAUCACAUCUAGACUCUGUCUUUUAAGAUCAAACGCAAGGACACUGUCAUCUAACAGCAUCCAGUAGAGUGCAUUGCCAACGAGGAUUCCAGGCCUGAUCGGGUUAACCAUAUCUGAAACCUCUGUUGAGAUGAUAUCCCCCCAAACAGCAGAGUUCGAUUCAUAGAGGCAAGCGGAUGCUUCUGUGCGGUCGUCGCUGUUCCGCAGCAAGACCAAUUUGAAAGGGCUCGAGUGGCAGCCGCCGCCAUGCACGUGGCCUCUGUUGGUGGCAGCGCAAACCACGGCGGCGUUGCGGACCAGAUUUCCUUUGUCGUUGCCGAACUCCGGUGGAAAAGGUACGGCACGCUGGUGGCCAGUGGCAGGGUCCCACACGACUGCCUCGAGCCGCGUCCAGUUGAGGAAGAGAUCGAGGCCGUGGCGGCAGCCUUUCAAGGACCAGCGCUCGUCGCGUGGCGGCGUGAGGGAGAAGGGGAUCCGGUCGGGGGCGUCCAGCAUGGGGAUGAAGUCGACGGCUUCGCCUUGUUGUUUCACGAAGAAGCCGAGGAGUGCCGGUGUCCGGUGGUAGGCGCGGAAGCGGCGCAGGAAGUCAGGGUUGGAGAUGAGACGGCCGCAAGCGCUUGCAGACAGCAGCGGCACGGAUGAGGGAGGACGGCUGCCGAGGGAGGCGGAUUAAGAUAUCCGUGAGAGUGUCGUCGUGGCCGUCCGGCAGGGUCAUCGCCAUGGCUGACCGCAAGUAGCAGUUAACUUUUGAUCUCGAUUGAGCGCAAGUCGCCUGCAACUAAGAUUUCUUUUGCUAGCUAGUACGGAGUACUAUAAAUUGCUUGUGAUACAUGCAACAUGAAGCGGACUCGAGCUCCCAUGUGAUUGAUGUUCUCAAUCUACUUGAUCUCCCAUAUUGGUAUUGCCAUAUACAAUCGUGUACGACAAUGAUUGUUGCUGCGCUUAUGGAUACGUAAUAUUCACCUCGAUAUUCUCUGCCUUUAUAUGCAGGAUAUAUAUACUUUUUGGAUCAUGGAUAGAUCCAUCGCAAUUAGAACGGCUCGAUCUCCAAUUCUCCAUGGCGGCGCUGGAUGAGAUGACUGUGGAGGAACGACGGAGCGACGUGAGGUGGGCCGUGGAAAGGUAUCCGGUCGCGUCGGCGCUGGACCAGCAGCAGCUGGAUGUGGUCAUCGACCGGAUCCUGGAGCAGAGCCACCCGGAGAACCUCCACCGUCGUGAUGGCAGGAGGCCUCGCCAUGAUCUAGCCACCGCGCUGAUCAUCGCAGACCACCUUGGAACCGGGUCGGACGCUCGAGCUAAACGGCUAUUGUGUGCCACGGAUCAGGCCAACCUGCUCACCAAGGGCUACCUCGAGGUCGACGACGACUAUUACGCCAACCAGGCCGACUUCAUUGCGUGGACCGCGGAGGAGUGGAAGAAGGUGUUCCUCCGCGCCGCCGACUUCGGGAUGGCAGACGACGACGCCACGGUGGUUCACCAAGGAUACACGGAACAAGAAGAAGAAGUUGAUGAAGACGAAGAAGUUGAUGAUGGUGUUGACCAGGGAGAGUAUGAGCUGUACUACCGGAUGUGGGUGAAGGUGGUGCUCUCGACGUCCCCCGAGGCCGUGACGCUGGAACCGCACGAGCUGGAGGCGGCCGUCGACAGGAUCCUCGACCCAGCGCCUGCCGAGAUGACUUGCAUGAACAUUGCCGACAUCAGGCUGGUCUUGGCCCACAAGAGUAACGAGCCGGUAGACGAGGACGGCGUGGAGAUGGAGGAGUUCCAGGCCCAGGUUCGCCGGGACUUGAUCGCCACCGGCUACGUCGAGGUCGACCCGGAGUACUGGUCGAUUUGACGUGUUUUUCUUCACAUAAAUAGUUGACGUGUUUAUUUAGGUUUGUUGCUGUUUGAUUUGUUUCUUUGGCGCACAUCUUGACGCCCCUACCUUCGGGAGUUCGGGUCUCGUUUCUUUUUCGUGGAGCUUGUUUCGUUAGGGCAUGUACAAUGGGGUGACGUCAACCUUUUCUUAGCGAUACCAUAUAUGAUAAAAUCUGAUGUGGAAGAGAGAGAAACGAAGAAAAGACACAAGACUUUUCUUAAUUAAGAGAUGAUCUCUUCACAAGAAUGAUAAGGCGAAAAUAAGACAAAUUUGUCAUAGUACUGGAUUUCACCUUUUCUUAGCAUUUAUUUAGUUAAUUUUAUUUAUCUAAACAUUAAUUUUAAGAUAGAACACUAAAAGAUAACUCAUUGUACAACAUGUUUUGUUGUCUUUUCCAAUUGACGUAGAAUGCCUAAGAUAAGACAGUCUUAUCAACCAUUGUACAUGCCUUUAUUGGGUCGCCCGUGCAUCCGCUUAUCCGAUUGGCCCGUUUUGCUUCUUUUCUAUGUCGAAGCCUGACUGCCUUAUUUGAAUUUGUUGUUCUACUCCAUCCGUUCUUAAAUAUAAAAAGUUUUACAUUUUUCUUAAGUAAAAGAGUAAAUUUCACAAAAUCACACUUCUUGGUGUUAGGGUUUCAACGGGCCACAGUUAUGACUAGUAGUCUCACAAAACCACACUUUUUCGGGCAGAUCUUCUCACAGAAUCCAAAUCAGGUAAUUAAGAGCGUUGAGUAAAUUUCACAAAACCACACAUGUUGGGUAGGCUUCUCACGGAGGCACCACUUUUGCUAAUUUGCCAAAAAACCCACACAUUUUGAGUCACGAUGUACCAACAAAUCCGAAAUGACGUGUUUAGCGCAUUGACAGCAUUCCUUAUAGGUCGGGCCCACCUGUCAGGUGACACGUCGGCCGAACCCAACCCGAUAGGCCGGCAACUAUCUAAGGGUAUCAUAAACGGUUGUUUUUCCGGCUGACUUGGACCUUGAUACAGACAGUGUGAUCUGUACCUCAACGGCGUCACGGAGAACUUCGCCAGCUUCGUGCCCCUCUCCGGCACUGUCUCAGCUCUGCACUGCGUUGAGGCAUCGGCUCCUCCCUCCACGACGCACAGGGCCCAUACCAACUAUUCGGACGUCCUCUGCUUUGGCAAUGGUGGUGUCUACAUCUCCGCCCGCCUCGACCACCUCCUCUCGUGGUCGUCCGCCGGCACCUCAACAUUCCGCCACCAGCAAGCCGCCUCCGCAAGCACCAGCAAAUGAGAAGCCCACGGGAAAGCGACGAGGAGUGGGCACACACGUGCUGGCGGUGCUACUAUAGGGGACUUGCGAGUCCAGUGCGUGCUCGCGCGCGCCGCCUUGUGCCGCCACGGCCAAGGCCCUCCCUGUCUCCCUGAGCCGCUCAACCUUGCCCCCGAGCUCCGCCGUGUCUCUAUGCGUCUCCCAGACGAACAAAUCGACCGGAAGGGCAAGGAAUCGACGCCGGCGUGGUCAUCUUCCUCAACUCCGACGCGCCGAACGGGGAGAAGGCAGGCAAGGCGGAGCGCGCGGAGGGGAGUGGCUGCACGCUGAGGUCGCCCGCGCCGCCAGGGCCGAGGCCGCCGUCGCUCUCUCCACCUCCCCCACCUCCACUUGGGUCUCAUGGGUCAACCACUGUGUCCCAAAUUCUCCAUUCACCCAUCCCAAUCGUGCCCCAGCCUAGUCCCCAAUGGUGCUCAUCUUCCGGGCAUGCGAGACCGGCGGCGCGAGGUCCGGCCAACCUAGAUCCAGAACGCGCGAGUCCGGCGGCACCAGAAGGCCUAGGGCGUGGUGGCAGCUCCUCCGUGGCCGUGUCCUUUCUGUACUUGGCCUCCAGCCGGCCGCCGGUCGCGGCCACCUUCUUCUCCGUGGAGGUUGAGGAAGAGCACGGCCAGAGGCAUUGAAGACGACGUUGAACGCCCAGCCGGCCAUCCCGUCAGCAGCCGCUGCCGGCGAAGAGGAACCAAACUUACCGGGCUAACGGGUCAGGUCGGGUUCGUCCGAUGUGUCAUCUGACAUGUCGGCCCGACCUAUAAGGAAUACCGUCAAAUGCGCUAAACACGUCAUUUCGAGCUUGUUGGUACAUCGUGACUCAAAUUGUGUGGUUUUUCGGGCAAAUUAGCAAAAGUGGUACCUCCGUGAGAAGUCUGCCCCAAUAUGUGUGGUUUUGUGAAAUUUACUCAAGAGCGUUUGAUGGUGUUUCUGACAAGUGGGACCCACAUGUCGGAUGCCAUGAUCGAAUCGGAAUUUCCCGGGUAGACAAAGGAGCUUAACGAGGGUGUCGGACAAAAGAUGACGUGGACAAAAAAACGGUUCGACCCGUCCGACCUGGCAUCCGACAUGCGGGUCCCACUUGUCAGAAACACCAUCAAAUGCUCUUAAUUACCUGAUUUGGGUUCUGUGAGAAGAUCUGCCUGAAAAAGUGUGGUUUUGUGAGACUAUUAGUCAUAACUGUGGCCCGUUGAAACCCUAGCCACAAGAAGUGUGGUUUUGUGAAAUUUACUCUAAGUAAAACUUUUUCAAGUUUCAUCAAGUUUAUAGAAAAAUAUAUCAAUAUUUCAAACUUCAAAUUAGUUUUAUUAGAUUUGUUAUUAUAUAUACUUUUAUAGUAUACUCUUUUGAUAUUGUAGAUCUUAGUAGUUUUUUAAAUUUUUUUGAUCAAACUUCAAUUUUGUUUGACUUAGAGCAGUACUUCUUACGUUUAGGAACGGAAAGAGUAUUGUUUAGGUUUUAUCAGUUGCUACUAUAAAUAUUUAUCUUAUUUUAUAUGGUGUUCCAAUUGACAACCUUAUCUAGGCUACAAUCUCUGAUACUGCUCUCUCCAACAGUCUGCACAAGAAAACCGGGUUCACAUUUACGUGGUACCAUCCAUUACUUAAUAAAAUUACAUUACGUGUUAACCAAUAAAAUAAGUAGACACACUAAAAAAUUGCACAAAAGGACAGACACAUUCUGACUAACCUAUCUGCCAAACUGCCACACAUAAGUGAGUGAGACAUGAGACAGUUAAACAUCAGCUAAGAUUCUACUUUAAAAUCCAAAUCUGCAACUAGAUCGUCCUAUUAUAUUGUGUCAAGAUUGAAUCGACAUUUCGUUUCUCUUUUGUCAAACAAUGCCUUGGUUAUAUGUUUUUCAACAGGAGUCUUGUAAAUUCAAGGGAUUGAGUACUUCCACCGAUAUGUAUUAGACUUGGUGCAACUUUAUAUUAAUUUUGUACUAAAUCCGAGACUUAUUAUGGAUCGGAGGAAGGAAGUAUUUAUUAUGAUUUAUACACGAAAAUAUGUGACGGCUAGGCAGGCAGGUACAUCCAGGACAAUCAAAUAUGGAGUACUAUGUUGUGCCGGGGUAAAGUAAGACAAUGAAUAUCAACAAAUUAAUCUACCCGUAAAAAAAUUGGCCCGUCAAAAUAACAACAAAUAUUUUGCACAAAAAACCCAACAAAUCUUCACUUAAUAUGUGUAUACCACUCUUCGUUCAUAACGGACUUUUCGUCUAGCUUUGCUAUUGAUCCAAGCCUUAAGCUUGUCAUCAAAGGCCCACAAAAACCCUGUGAUGAAAUUACGAAAAAAAAAAAAGGAAGGAGGAUCCAGCCCAGGGUUCUCGGGCACUCCUCUCAAGCUGCCCCGUCGUCUCUGGUUUCAUCAUUGGCCGUAGGGCAUGUGAACGGUUUCUCUAGUAUAUUCAUGAAAUGGAGGAAGCCUCGACCUUCUUUUGCCUGGCUUUUCUUCCCGCAUACGAAUUUUCCGUCCAGCGGGUGCAAAAUCUCAAAGCUUUCUGGGCAAAAUGCACACGAAGUCUUCAAGUGACGCGACGACUUAUCUGUUGGUAGAGAAAGACAAAUGCAUAAAUCAGGACUCUUUUUCUUUUUCUUUGAGAGGGCAGGACUCAGGAGGAUGAGAGUCCUCUUUCGGCAUAAUAAGUCCCAACUCGCAGUUAACCAAUCAAGGCCCAAGACGGCAAAUUCAAGAAGACACAUAUAUACAAUGGUAGCUAGCUUACCGAUGAUGGUGCAUGUUUCGACAGUUGGUCUGCAGAGUUGGUAGUCGUAUCGCAGCUCAGCGAAGAAGUGCUCCACGGGGUCGUCAACCUUGUUGGGCCUCUGUUUGCUACUACUGGCGUUCCUCUUGCGAGCCAAGAAGCUGACAUGAACCCAAAUGUUACAUCUGAAACCUACGUACACGGCCAUCAAAGGCUUGACAGGAUCAAACUCCGAACCCUGAAAUUGUCCAAGUAAAAUUUGUUAGUACAGUUUAGAAUACUGAAUUAUCAUGACGCUGCUUUGAUCGAUGCCCACUACCGGAUUGUCGGCGUUGUAACGGCGGAGAGCGUAGUGGACAUGGCAAAUGAUGGAGGCAUCGCGCUCCCUGCAAUCGAUCCAGACCAGACCAAGUAUUGAGGAAUUCGAAAAUUUAAGAUCAACCUAUGAGUUAGCAAGGCGCGCAGUGGAUCGGUAAGGAGAUCGUACUCUUCUGUGCGCCGUCUCCAAUUCUCCCCGCCGUGAGGCGAUUGCAUCCCGCACCCGCACAUGGAGCGUGCCUGGAGUAUCUGAGCCUCGCGGGUCAUGUUGCACGCGUCAGGGGGCAGGGGUUCGUCCUCCUCUGGAAUAACCCGCUCCAUCGACUGCCGCGAUCCCAUCGUUGUCGUUGGGCGCAAGCGUCUUUUAUUAGCCUGUUCUUGGGAGCUGGCGGCUAGCGCAGGGCGCAAGUACUCUGGGUCAGAUCUGCAGGAAGAAUAGCCUCCAGUAUGCCGUGCGUGUAUAUAGAGAAGCAGGAACGUCUGCGAUCCGAUAGCAAUUCGAUUAGGCCUAUGUACGCUAGGUCACGAUGCCACCAGAACGACCGAAUCCUAUGGUGAGUCGGACCCUGGGUCCACAACCACAACUGAAACUAAACCAGUCGUCUGAGAUUAAAAAACAAUGGGCUAUUCGUUCUGGAAAGAAAAGAGACCAGGAUAGAAAAGAAAAUAUAAGUUAGCCAGGCAAGAACAAAUUAAUUAACCUAUAGGAUGUGUCGCGACUCCUGAUAAUGUGAGGUUUUGGUGUGGCAUAAGUAAUCAACUUACUAGUACAAUGCCCCGUGCGUUGCAACGGAAUAAUAAAAUUAAACACAUAAACAAGUUGUGCACAUAUACGGUGCCGGUGUGCUUGCUUCCCAUAUACGGUGAUUGACUUUUGCGCACAUCAUAAUCCAUCUCCUUCAUGAACACUCCCUCGCCGCAAAAUGCAUAUUGUCAUCAAAGCACAAAUUUUUUCACUGUUCAGUUAUUUCACGAAAUAAAUUACAUACCGUUCAGUUAUUCUAUGAAAUACUUGUAUAUGUUUGUAUCUAACUUUCUAUCAUUUCAUUUUAUUUGUAUCUUUUGAGGUAUCUCAAGGAACACCAGAAAACGUCAUAAUUAAGCUUAACCUCCCAAAUCAUGAUCUUACAUCCCCAAGAAUAAACUUUUCAUGGCAGCCUAUGGCAGUAAACAUUUAAGCUUUUGCAUCAAAUAAAAUAAAACAGUACAUGUGGUAGGACAAAAUCUCUACCUAAGCAAUAUUGCAGCAGAAUAAGUACGUAAGCAUUGAUCAGGAGUCAGAAGAUUAAGAUUAAAGUCAAGCUAUAGAUAGCCACUAAAGCUGCCUCUAGCUAGCCGUGGCCGUUUUUUCCCAACUCAGUAGCUGAUGGAUCCCUCGUCGGUAAUUAAGGUAUAGACAGCCGCUUGAUUGAGUCACCAUCUGAAUCUGAUCCAGCUUCUGGAACAGUAAGUAAAUCCACAAAUUUCUAACUCUGAAUUCAGCCUGAAGCUAAAGCCAUUAAUUCAUCAAUUCUGCUGCAUACGCCCAUUAAUUUAAGCUCAAAAUCCAGUACCACACAUACUUAUUCAAUCCAUCCACACACAGUGAGACACAUAGCUCAACAGUCGAUCCAACACUUGAUCGAUACAACACUUCAUUCAUCCGCAAACAAAAGAGGAAAAAUAGCUCAACAAAAUCAAAAACUAUUUAUUUUUAUUUUUUGUGUAGGCAACUCAUGGCGCCGUCGAAGUCGGCAUGCGGGUGUGGUGGCGUCGGUUGUAAGACAGUGUAGGAGAGAAUUCUGUAAAAUAAAAUAAAAAAUAAACGACGGUCUCCUAAAAUAAAAAUGAAAAAUAAACGACGGCUCUACAAAUUGACAGGUAGGACCAACACGAUGUUGGUUCGGAGACAGGGAGCUCCAGUACCAAAUUAAUGCACAUACGAACAAAGAUUUGGAUACCAUCUAAAAAUGAUUUGGAUACGAAGAGGGGUGAAUCUUCCAUUUGAUUUAGUAAAAAAAAAAGUCGACCUACAAAGGGGUAAGCCACCCCAGGCAUUUGCAUUAAGAAGAAGACAUUCUCACACAGGUCGAGAAAUCCCUGAACCCUGCCCCACACCAUACACAGCGGCACCGAAGCCCGUGCGAGAGCGGACGAGUCUUAGGUUUGUGCUUAAGGCGUGAGGCAGAGGAGAGCAUUUUUUAACCCCAGCCUGAAAUUCGCUCCCAUGGGGAGACCUGAGGAGUGCUACUAGAUUUGUUCUCUUAACCAUUACGCCAAGGGCACGUUCGCAGAUUUUCGUAGGAGUUCCUAAUUAUCGAAUACUUGCACUUUGCCUAGAAUAUUUUUCAACUAACCAUAAUUAUUACACUAAUUGAGAUAGUAAAAUAAAGCUACAUAAAAGUAAUCUCAGUGAUGUGUCAUUUUUAAUCGUCUGAUCUAUUGUUGGACGUCUGAGAUUAUCCGUGCUCGAGUCCCCACAAUGUACCUAUGAAUAAGGAUUUAGAUGGGCAAAAUUUCCAUUUAAUUUCUGUACAUGCUUUGCCCCUUUUAAAAUGUACGGCGUAUAAUUUUUAUUGGAAUUUUAAAGUUUGAUUAAUCUUAUAACAAAAAUGUCAACAUUAACGUUGUCAAAGGAAGAAGAAUAGAUUCAUUUUAAAUAUCUUUUGAUAGUAAUCUUGUUUUGACACUGUAUAUGUUGAUUUAUCAAAAUUUUAAAAAUUGAUGAUAACCUACAUUUUGAAACGCAGGGAGUAUACAAUUACUGAAGACUAACCAUUUUUCUAGCACUUCUUCGUAGAUCAGAAUUAUCACUCUAAUAAUUUACGCCACACGCGAACCAUGCCUUUUAAAGGAAAACAUGACAUAUGUGGUCUGCACGACUGCACAUCAGCGCUCAAAUGAUCACAGAGCAUACAACUAGAGAAACCGUUCACAUGCCCUACGAUGAAACCAGAGUCGACGGGGCAGCUUGAGAGGAGUGCCUGAGAACCCUGGGCUGGAUCCUCCUUCCUUUUCUUUUUUUUUCGUAAUUUCAUCACAGGGUUUUUGUGGGCCUUUGAUGACAAGCUUAAGGCUUGGAUCAAUAGCAAAGCUAGACGAAAAGUCCGUUAUGAACGAAGAGUGGUAUACACAUAUUAAGUGAAGAUUUGUUGGGUUCUUUGUGCAAAAUAUUUGUUGAUAUUUUGACGGGCCAAUUUUUUUACGGGUAGAUUAAUUUGUUGAUAGGAUACUCUAAUUGCUGGGCUUUCCUUACGAAAGUAAGUUAUACAUCCAGUAAAAGUACUCGGAAGCCCUGACAUUACAACUGCAGGGGAUUCUCAGAAUUAACGUUAUACGAAGAAUCAUAUACUCCCGCUGGAAGAUGCUUUUAGUCAUAGUCAGAAGUAGUAAUUUUUUUUUUGCCAUCUUACGUCUUAAUGUUCACCAGAUCUGUAGAAUGGUAGUCUCUGAGAACAAUUAAAUUCCUAACAUAUGAGCUGGUACAACCUGGAAGAAACAAACAGUGGAUUUGUGUGUGGUUGGGAGAUGGGAGGGGGCGGAGACCAGAGGAGAGGAGGAAGAAGCAUUCCAAAGAACCAUGGCGCUGGCGCCCUUGUCGGCAACAGCGGGAGUGGUGACCGCAGAAGCCUGUGGGCUCGAUGGGAGAACCGCGACUCUGCUGCUCAGUGAGCUCACCGACAACUCAUAGACAUUUGAUAAAGAAGGGCGGGCGAGAAGGGGAAAGGUCACUCUGGGGGCAUCGUGAGAGUUAAUUUGUCAUAUUAGACAACUAGGAUUGUGUCAUCGAAGUUGAUGUGUUCGUUAAAGUGUCCAUGUUCCUGUAUGGAGAGUACUUUCUAAAAACGUAAUGUUCGUGGCAUUUGUUAUGUAGCAGCAGGCGCCAGGAUUCGCUGGUCCACCUCGGCGUAUUGAAUCUGGGGUGCUACUGCCGCAGCCGCUGCAAUACUUGCGGCGUUGGAUAUUUAGUGGACUCGAGUUCCUGCGACACUUAGUCAAGAAAUUACUUCCCGUGCCACGUAAGUACAGCUGGCGGGCUAUCAUGGGAGAUCCUAUGCCUCAGAAUGUCCCUAGUGCGUCUCCUUUGUCCAUUCCUUUCAUCUUUACUUAUUACUAAGAGCCUCUUUGAUUCAGUGAUUAGCUCAACGAUUUCUGGAGGAUUUUUUUCUCCUUAGAAAUUCUCAAUGUAAGCUGUUUGAUUACUGAUUGUUGGGAUUGUAAAUAAUGCUGUGUAGUGAUUUUUUUUCCCUAGAUUUUAUUUGCACUGCAUUGCAUAGAGAACUUUUCAUUGCGUACAACCUUUUGAAAAGAUACCUAUGUUUUUACAGUCAAAUAUAUUUUUAAUUGCAUAGUAUUAAACAGGACAUGGCAACGUAAUCGUUAUUUUCCCUAUCACGCGUCUCAAGGAUUUUGUGACCAACAACUUAAGGAACUUUAAUUACCUGGACGACUGAUGUUAUUGGUAAAACUAACAUACCGACUAUCCCAUUUGAACAAAGUAGAACUAUUUAUAUAUUGUUGUCAUCACUCCAAAAAGAAAAUCAUCUAGAUAGAUCCAUCUUUUUUUCACCAAUAGACCAGUGACCACCACCUUGACUGAUUGAAUAGAAUAAAUUAACCAAUUUCAUGCAAUUAUGCUUUUAAUCAAUAUAAUGAAUUGUUUUUUUUAAUAUGUGAAUUCAAUUUGACGUAGUCUCAUUGCAAAUUUGGAUAUUAUGGGCAAGUUAUCUAUGCAACUACCUGCAUUUAUUACGUUUUACAUAAUUAAUGGCUCGAGUGGCCAGUAUAUUUAAAUUAUUGUAUUGCUUGGAUGAACAACAGAGACAUGCACCCUAGUUGCAUGCACGGUGUCCAUAGAGACGCGCCAUCGCCAUGCUUUUGAGAGUAUCUACGGAGCGGGCACUUUUCCUUUCAAAGCCGCUUGUCCGAGGAAGCUAAGAAAAAUCUGCGGUAGGACAAGGUUUUGGAAUCCUGAAACUGAAGCGGAGAGAAGCGUCUGCAAUUGUAAAACCGGAGCAAGAUUCGAUCAAGUACUGAGCCUAAUCAUGGAGACAGGUGGGAUCCCAACAACGAAUGCACCCCCCAGACGAUAUCUGACGCUACCCUUAUUAGGAUUCAAUUCCUAUGAGGUGUACGAUUGGUCGACCUCCAUGUGGCUUGUUAGCAGACAGCAGGUGGCACGGCUUAUUCACAUGUAUGGGCCCUGUCCCGUAGGGCUGUAUGUCACCUGGGAGUACAUUUUUGACUGCGUCGGCUACGAUGACAAUGACGAUAUGGACCCAGUGUUAUACAGAGGAUUCGUCCGGCUGCCGGACUGGAGGAUAGCAUGACAGGAUGAGGACCCCACUGCAGGUUAUCAUGCAGUCAGUUGUUUGCUAUGCAUACAAGUUUGUUGGCGAAGACCUUCACCUUAAGAGUCCUGGACAAUCAGACAGCCAAUGGGCCCCGUCGCUGGGUCCUGUAUGAAGCACUGCAGACAAUUGUCACCGUGAAUGUUAAGCCAGUUGAUGCAUCCGGCUGGGCAUACUGAUUUGCAGUAGAGGUUUAACUAGUGUAACGCUAAUCAUUGCUAUUAUAUAUUAGCUGUAACUGCGACAAUGUGAUCAUUAUCGCAACUGUAGUCGUUGCUAUUUCUGCUUUGUUGUUGAAGCAGGUGAAUAUCGUGACUUUCUUUUUCUAUAUAAAAGAGUUCAAACUUCAGAAAUUCUUGGUUGGUCUAUUGCAAAUAUUUUUUAGUAUCACUCUGAUUGAAAUACUACUUAAGAAACUUAGCUAGACGACCAGUCAUUUGGCUAUAUUUUCUUUUGUUUUUCUUCUUCUUUUGGUUCCACUUUGUCAUGCGAUUUUUUAUGUUUCUCGAUGAAUAAACAGCAAAGGCAACUCCAAUAAAAUAAUAACAGUGAUAUGGGUUUGAACAAAUAUUUAGUAUUAGAAUAUGCAAAGGCUAGGCAGCCAGGUAUAUCCAGGGCGGAGCACACCUUUUAUGUUGCAUGAGACCAGAGAGAACAAUAAAUAGCUAUGUUAGUAAGCAAUACAUUCAUUCCUAACUAGCAGUUGUGCCCGCGUGUUGCUACAGGUCAAUAAAAUCACAAACUAUUUAUUUUCAUUUUCUGUGUAGGCAACUCAUGGCGCCGUCGAGGUCGGCAUGCGGGUGUGGUGGCGUCGGUUGUAAGAUGGAAUAAGAAAAAUCGUGAAAAAAAACUGGAGGAAAAGAAAAUAACGGGCAGUGGCAUAUUGGUUGUAAUUUUAACUGGAGGAAAAAAAAAUAACGAGCAGUGGCAUAUUGGUUGUAAUUUUAACGAAGUUAACCUACGGCGAUGACCGCGACCGUACCAUCACCACCAACUCCAAUUUAAUAGAUAGUAAUAGAUUACUACAGAACAGAGGAACCUCAAAACACUAGUGAAUCAGCAAACGUCUUAUCUUAACUCAUAUAAAGAUCAGUUGGUGGCAGUGGUCCGUUACGUUCAACCCACGCCACCCAGUGAUUUGGCACAGACCAUUGAGAUGAGAGGAGGCAUGGAUUAUUUAAUCCGAGACAACAAAGGAUAAUACAGUAUUUUCUUUAGUCUUUAAUACAUGCAUGUAUUGUAUGCAUUUUUCCAUAGCUACUCGCAUGAGUAUUGUGCUAGUAUUUUAAAGUAACAGGUUUCAAAAUAAAAAUAACAAACAACGAUAAGAAUGUUGAUUUUCAUCCCAUGGUGGCUUUUUUUUACCCAAAAGACUGGCACAUGGCCCUGCAACAAUUCUUCACCAACAUAUAUAAGUUUGGAAUCAAAUCAAGAAAACCCAUACCUAGCAAGGAAGGCACGUAAAUAAAGUAUCAGGACAGGGUUAGUUUGAGGGGAGGGAUAAGCAUACCUAGAUCAUGGAUUUCACUAUAGUGGGUUGAUUUAUUUUGGAAUUUGGAGCUCAUAUAAUUGAGAAACAUAGAAAAUAUGGAUAUACACACUAGAAGUAGUAUAUAUUUUGCACUAGAAAAUAAUGCUUUACUUCAUUUGUUUUGACACCAAGUUAUCGCACUUUUGUGUACAUAAGUGAACCUGAAGUGAUAACCAUAGUUAGAUUUACUUGUUCUGAUGUUCUGUCUUGGUUCUUUCAGCUUGCUGCCCGCUUCACGUAAAUAAGUGAAACAAUAACUGAUAAGUUGAGUAAAGUUCGUUUAUUCUGAUGUUCCAUGUUGGUUCUUUCAGACUGAUCAAUGCAAGGACUCUGUGGGAGGUCAGGCCAGCGCUCAAAUGCACAGUUGGAUGGCAGGUACAUAGCUCUUCCUGUAAGUAGUUGAAAAAAUUCAUAACAUUUGGUCCUAUAAGCUAGUUGAAGAUUCAUAACAUUGGCACGGUUUGUCUCUUACGGCUCAAGUGAUAGGAUACCUAAUAGCUGGCCUUUCCUUGUGAAAAUAAGUUAUUCAUCUAGUAAAACUACUCCGAAGACCUGACAUCAAAACUGCAGGGGAUUCUCAGAACUAACGUUAUACGAAGGGUCGGAUACUCCCACUGGAAGAUGCUUUUAGUCAUAUUCAGAAAUAAUAACAUGCUUUUGUGACAUCUUAUAUCUGAAUGUUUACCAGAUCUGUACGAAUGGUAGUCUCUGAGAACAAUUAAAUUCCUAAGAUAUGAGCUUCUACAACUUGGAAGCGAUAAACAGGGGUUUUAUGUGUGGUUGGGAGAUGGGAGGGGUCGGGGACCAGAGGAGAGGAGCGAUAAGCAUACCAAAGAACCGAGGCGCCCCUGCCGGCGACAGCGGAGGUGGUGACCGCAGGAGCCUGGGGGCUCGAUGGGAGAACCGCCGCGCCGCUGCUCGGUGCUCUCACCGUCACCGGGAACUCGUAGACAUCUGGUAAAAGAGGCGACCGCCGAAACGGGUCCUAUGCAAGACGAUGUGGAGGACGCCGGGCCGAAGGGACGGGGGAGAAGGGGAAAGGCCACUCUGGGGCUCUGGGCUGGGGCGUCGUGUGUCCAUGGGACUCGUGGCACUGGGCCCCGAAACCGUAUCUUGCGGGUUUUACCCAUUAGUUAAUGGAGACGGGUUUAGAUUAAAUCUAAUUCCUGCAUGUUUGUUCAUGGGUCAAAAGUAGGUUUCAUGGAUUCAAACUCCGGUCUAGCCCUUCCUGAACCCGAAACCUGAUGGAUUUCACGAAAAAUAUGAUAUAAGUCAUAUACAUGACCCGGUUAAGUCCAUCCUAGAGAAAAUGUUGGGUAUAUAACAUAUUUCUAACCCUAAUUCAUUCCCCCAAAUCGCUAGCCCCCAUUUUAUCGACAUACAUGAUGUUGUUUGUUAUUGGAUGUGUUGUAUAUUCUUACGGGUUCAGGUUCCUCGAUGCCGGAGGCAGCUGCGCUGAGUGAGCCAUGCUAAUUUGCAAAAAAAAAAAAAAACACCUGGCCAUGAUAUCGCAAAUCACCUAAAUAAUCGUCCUCCUGACAUGAUGUGGCGAUCCACUUUUCAUAUGGCCGUCACGGCGGCCGGCGUCCUCCGGCAUACAGCGAUGUCCUCUAAACCUUGGCCCGUGUCCUCGUGAAAGAACCUGGCUAGCCAGAAAAUGUCUACGUGUGACGUGGUGGCGGCGAGUGCGAUGAUCAUCUGGUUUUAUGGACUUAGGUCACCGAAACUUGGCCCACCAGCGCAUCAUCUUCACUGGCCUCGCUGAUUGAUCGGUUCUUUGAGUGGGAACUACUAGCAACAGCAACAUGUAUGACGUGCAAAUUGUUACCAACAUCACAUAAAAGAAUUCCGAACUAAUCUACUUUGAGAAGGAAACAUCGAUCUCAUAUUACAGCAAGGCUACCAACAACAGCAAUGUGACAAAUUAACACUUGGUGCAUGGUGCGGCAGUCUUGGUCUUCCAUCACUGGAGCAGUAGAUCCAUCAUUUAGGUGGGGGUAUUUUAUAACCCAUAUCACAAGGAACUUUUCGCCUAGCCUCACCGCUGAUCCAAGCGUUAAGCUUAUCAUCAAAGGCUCACAGAAACCUCGUUGUGAAUAUUUUUCUAAAAAGAAACCUCGUUGUGAAUUGGCCCGUCAAAAUAUCAACAAAUCUUUUGCGCAAACACAUCAACAAAUCUUCACUUAAUUUGUGUAUACCAUUCUUCGUUCAUAACGGACUUUUCGUCUAGCUUUGCCAUUGAUCCAAGCCUUAAGCGUAUCAUCAAAGGCCCACAAAAACCCUGUGAUGAAAUCACGGAUAAAGACAAAAGGAAGGAGGGUCCAAGCCAGCAUGCUACUUCCCUUCUCUUGAGCUGCUUCGUCGUCUUUGGCUUCAGCAUUGGUCGUAGGGCAUGUGAAUGGUUUCUCUAAUAUAUUCAAGAAACGAAGGAAGCCUUGACCUUCUUUUGCCUGACUUUUCUUCCCGCAUACGAAAUUUCCGUCGAGUGGGUGCAAAAUCUCAAAGUUUUCGGGGCAAAAUGCACAGGUAGUCUUCAAGUGACGCGAUGACUUAUCUGUUGGUACGGGAGGACAAAGACGCAAAAAAAAAAAAUUAUAGCUCGAAAUUUACUGAAGAAAGAAGGCCCGAUACGGCAAAUUCAAGGAGAAGCUUAGAUAUAUGAGGCAAGACGUUUUGUUAUGGUUUUAAUUGGUAGCUUACCGAUGAUGGUGCAUGUUUCGACAGUUGGUUUGCAAAGAUGGUGGUCGUAGCGUAGCUCAGCAAAGAAGUGCUUCACGGGGUCGUCAGCCUUGCUGCGCCUCCGUUUGCUACUACUGGCGUUCCUCUUGCGAGCCAAGAAGCUGACAUGGACCCAAAUGUUACUCCUAAAACCUACGUACGCAGCCAUCAGUGGCUUGACAGGAUCAAACUCUGAACCCUGAAACAGUCCCAAGUAAAAUUUUGUUAGUAUAGUUGCCAGCACUGAAUUUUCAUGACGCUUGCUUUGAUCGAAGCCCUACUGGAUUGUUGGCGUUGUAACGGCGGAGAGCGUGGUGGACGUGGCAAAUGAUUGAGGCGUCGCGCUCCCUGCAAUUGAGAUCCAGACCAAAUACGUUAACUAAGGAAUUCGAAAUUAAGAUCAAUAAUCAACGAAUUAGCAAGGCGGCCGGCGGAUCGGAUAUAUCGGAGAUCGUACUCUUCUGUGCGCCGUCUCCAGUUGUCCCCGCCGUGAGGCGAUUGCGUCCCGCGCCCGCACAUCGAGCGUGCCUGGAGAAUUUGAGCCUCGCGGGUCAUGUUGCACGCGUCAGGGGGAAGGGGUUCAUCCUGCUCUGGAAUCACCCGCUCCAUCGACUGCCGCGAUCCUAUCGUUGGCGCAAGGGGAGCUAGGGCAGGGCGCAAGUCUGGGUCAGAUCUCCAAUAAAGAAUAGGAAACCGGAAACCCCUACCAGCAUACCGUGCGUGCGUGUAUAUAGAGAAGCAGUGAACAUCUGGAAUCCGAUCGCAAUUCGAUUUAGCCCCUUGCCUAUGUAGGCAACGCAAGGUCACUGUAUCACCAGAACGACUCAACGACCGAAUCCAAUGGUGGCGAGUCGGACACUCAACCACAACGUACAAUCCGUUCCUGGGCCGCGACCUCCCGCGCAAAAUGCGCAUGCCCAGCAACACAGUGGGCCUCAAGCCAGCAGUACCUGCCGUUUCAUGCGGUCUGCACGUCUGGAUUACGUACGCCCGUGCGGCAACUAUGCCACCUCUGUCUGGGCCAGCCGUAGGCCCUUAGGCCCAUAAUUGGUCCCCGUGAUCAUAGUCCACCUUGCGCGCCUGGGCAUUGCCCCGCCUAGGCCGAGCGCCUGCGCCUUGGGCUGCGUGCGCGCGCCUUCUGCCGCCGCGCUGCAGGGCUACCUGUGCUGGAUGGGCCUACUGCUGCAUGUUUUGCGUAGCGACCGAUCGGAUUAGGAAGCCUGCUCGGCCCGUCUAGCAUGCCUCCCGCCGGUAGAUCCAUCAGCAGCGCUAAUCGAUCCGAUCUCAUCGAAACCGACUCACCGAAGACUGCUGCUGCACGCCGCCUGUAGGCCUGCCGAUCGACCCGAUCGGCCCAGUACUUGCGCUGCUGCUUUUUCUCUCGAAUCCCGAUCUCUCCUCUCCGAAUAUUUCGAACUUGAAUAGAAUGUAGUGGCUGUUCUAAAAAAAAAGAAUAGAAUGCAGUGGACGGAUGAAUGAUUUAGGUUGUUUCCAUUAGCGCUCUAGAGAAAUUUGGGGUAAAUUGUGUGACCAUUGUAUUUGAUCUCGAAAUUGGAGAAUUUUGCCUUGCUCCGUGGCCUGCGGGUGGGUAAAAGAGGGGAUGGACCAAGUUUGUCCAUCUCGGCGCCGACGAAGCUCAUUUAAACCUUGGAUGAUCAGGUUAACCCAAGUUGGGGGACUGAGGUUCCGUGGAGAAAAAGAGAGAUGCAUGCGGAGAAUAUUUUUUUUACCAAUUGCUUGACGUGCCACGUGUCCAUCAAUAGUGUCUGUCUUGCCAAAUCCAAACCAAAUUUGGCUAGCAUUUGGUUUUUUGCACCGACCAAUAGACGGAUGGCUAGCGUCUGUCAAGUCCCAUUGAAUGACUAUUUUUUUUGUCCGUGGACAAAAAGGAAUAAAAACGAGCAAAUGGCUAGCAUUUGGCCAUUGCUUUUGGAGAUACCCCUAACCACGUGUCAAGAUCAGGGACCGUCAACCGAAUUUCCUUUAGCCUAUAUCGUACACAUAUUCUACACAGUUCCAAUGAAUCUCAAUGACUCAAAAAACUUCAGACCAACACCAAACAAACUUGAAGAACUAAGAACGGGUCAAAUUUCACUAAAACAGCAAUACCCACAAAAAAAGUGCAGUUUCAAAUUUAGUAGUGUGCAAUGUUAAGUGUGUUGGAUUUUCAACAAACUUUAAGAACUAAGAAUUGCCGAAGAGGUUUAGUUUAACUAGGAAUGCUGCAUUUUGUCCACUACUGCGAGCUCGCCUUGCUAUUUGUAGGCGUAGGAAGAUAAAAACAUAGUGAUAGACAAUUCGCCCUUUUCUUAGUCUUUCACAUAUUUAGAGCGGACACCACAAACAUUUUGUGCAAUAAAACUUUACCUGAAUAUAUAUUAUAUCUAGCAAACGUUUGUAUGCCUCCAAAAUGACAAAGUGGUUAAAACUGAACUGAAAAAUAUAGACUAAGAGAUGAUAUUUGGUACUACUACAAUAUAAACAAAUACUCUCUCCGAUUCUAAAUUGUUGUCGAAAUAUUACAUGUAUCUAGACGCUUUUUUAAAAUAAAUACAUCCUUGUUUGGACAAAUUUGAGACAAUAUUUUAGGAUCGGAGGGAGUAACUUAAUAUCUGAUUCGUGACUUCGUAAUAAAAAUGACCGUAUGCAUUGAUUGAUGUAGAGGCCAGGACUUCUUUUUUCUAAACAUCUUAUUAUAACUGCUAAGAGAACAUCUUUUCCUUAAAAAAAAGGCUUACAUCUUUGUUUUAUUUCUUUCUUUUUCAUGGCAACAACUAUCUACAUAGUUUUAUUAGAAGAAUCACAUGUGUCCUGGUACAUUGCCCUCGUACAUCAACACAACCCUUUGGUAACUCCAACUAAUUCAACCACACUCAGGAUGAUCGAUUCGACUACAGCAGUUGCGAUGCCCCUUUCGUGCUCCGCCAAGCCGAGCUGUUUCUCUGCAUGUUCUCCGGCAGGCCACCACCAUUAUUGGUGAAUCAUUUGGUCCUCCGUUCGAUCUUUCUGAGCAUCCAAACAGUUCGCAGCCAAGCAGGCAAGCACCAAAAGGACAUAUAUAGCACACACGGCAUCAACCACAGUCCCGUGCCGAGCCUGGCCAAAUGCAUAAUGCGUAUGCGGACGUCGUGUACUGCUAUAGGCUACAAGUAUACAUCAGUGAUUUGCCUGCAUGCCACCCGUAGGACCGUGUCCGCGCGCGAGGCUUGUCGAGUUUUUGAGCACGAUCGGUGCUUUCACGUGCACGUAUACAUCGCCUGAGACCAUGAGUGCCACAUCGGUUUAUGGCCAUUUCUGCGUAAUGAUUUCCUUCCAGGUUGGAGAUUGAUGCCGGAUGAAGAAACGGGGGAGGAACUCUUGUCCUCUGCAUAUGCUCAGGAAAGAAGAUCUUUUGCCCAGCUCACUUGCAUGAGUAAUACUGUGUACGUGUCUACGUGAUCACCAUUGGUGGACGCGCGCAUGGCGCGAUGCAGAGGGCAUGCCAAUUGCCAGCGCCCGGCCCCGGAGGCCCGGAGCUUGGCUUCACACCCAUAAUUAACGUAGGUACAAUUAACAGAAGGUUCCACUCUAAAUAAUGUUAAAGAACUCUGAAAAAUAAAGUACUCCCUCCGACCCGACCGGAAUUAUUUGUCGAAAUAUUACAUGUAUCUAGACGCUUUUUACAUAUAGAUACAUUCGUAUUUGGGCAAAUUUGAGACAAUUAAUACCGGUCGGAGGGAGUAUUAUUAUAUGUAAAUGCUAGAGUAGUAUUACAUGUAUCUCGACGCUGUUAGGGAUUUUUCUCCCUCGUGUUCUUUUCUUUUCUGUUGUGGACUGGUUUCGUUUGUAUCUAUCGGCUUAGGCCUUUCUUCUUAAUACAAAUAGGCGCAAUUUCUGGUGUGGUUUCCUGAAAAUAAAGAGUAUAUGUAAAAUUUAAUCUAAACUUACCAUGUGUCUUGUAAAUGUACAAAAAGACAAAUUAAGUACUGUUUCUCAAUACCACAACCAAUACCCUUUUUUACAGUACAAAGUACAAGUUAUUUUUGUUCAAAUUUUGAAUGUACUUUUAUAUGUAUAUGUACCAACACCAUGAUUGGUUUGAGAAACUUUAGAGCAAAAUUGUGUACUGACGAAUACCUACGCUCAUCGUGGGUGUAGAUACCAUUAAUUAGCCUUCUAAAGGCCCAACCCAUCCUUUUGAAGGCCCAAUCUUUCGUGGGUGGAGCCAGAAUUGAACAGAAGGGCGAGUUAAAAAAUUUAAAUUUCGUAUUGGAUAUACACAAAUUAACUCAGGACUUAUUCUUUUGAAGCUUCCGCAUUUCUCUAUAGUAUAUCUAAAGAUGUCGAAGGUUUGUCCUAAAUCAAACUUUUUAAAGUUUGAUCAAGUUUGCAGAAAAGUCUAUCAUCAUCAACAAUAUCAAAUACUUCUCCAAUCCAUAAUAAGUGUCAGGAUCUCAUACUUAUUAUGGCUCGGAGGAAGUAGUACUGCAGUAUACUAUGAAGAUAUAUAUCAUGAUGGAUUUAACAAAACUAAUAUAGUGUGUUGGUGUCGAUAGAUUUUUCCGUAAACUUGGAGGCGCGCUAUGGUGUAGAUGGCCGUGGCUCCGCUGGGCCUCUUCUCCCCGGCCAUGGACUCAAAUCCCAACCAAGGAGGACCAGGAGGCGCUGGCGCUCUGCAAUUCCGCCAUGUUCAUUCAUCUGGCGACGGCACGCGCACGUAAGUACAGAACGCGUGAGAGUCAAUCUUCCGCCGGUAGACAGGAGCUUCGACUUCCAACCUUUUAGUUUGCUCAAGAAUUUGUCAAUCAUAGGCCAGAGAUCUGAUCUUCUGAGAUGACCAAUAGACAGGGGAAGACCCAGGUAGGUAAUCAGAAAAUCCUUCCGAAUGCAUUGGAAGUGAUCAGCCACCAUCUGACAUAGGUCGUCGCUGCACUUGAUGCAAGUGAUCGAGCUCUUGUGGAGAUUGAUUCGGAGGCCAGAGGACUCAGCAAAGAUUUCGAGGAUCGCCGAGAUGACAGCCAGAUCAGAGCGAACCUGCCGGAAGAAAAGAACGUCAUUUUCUGCGUGAAUUCCAUUUUCUACCCACUGUUUGACAAUCUGUGACAUUGUUUACCCAAUUUUAAAAUCUCGUCACAUCUUACCCCUACAGUUUUUAGGAAACAUCUUACCCCUAUAUGUACGUACACGACCGGUUUUAUCUCAUUUCUCCAGUUAAACUGAUUAUGGCAUGUUGGGCCAACUGUUCGAAGUGACGUGGCAAGUCCAAGUUUUACGUGCAUUUUGCUAAGUUGUUUUUUCUUUGACAAAACAGCUGCAGUGAGCUAUUUAUAGCCAAAGAGUUCGGACAUAAUCCAACCUAAAGAUUACAAGUGAAACACAAAAAUAAAACAACUAGAGCUUUGUGGUAGGGAACAGAAGAGAAAGGAAAACGAGAUUAAGGUACAUCAUCGGACCCUAUUCGCCUCUUUUAAGCAUUUCAACAAAAUUACUACUAGAUGUCAGCAUCUAUAAGAAAGUCAGACUUCCGGGCAACAGCAGAGGCCAUCAUCAACGACACAGAACGAUCAUUUGCCGGCCCCACUCCAUAUUCGCCUCUUUUAAGCAUUUCAACAAAAUAAGAACUACCACCUUUGGCUGCAUGAGGCAUCCACUCAACUAAUAAAGAGCAAUUCAUACUGAAGUUUGAAAUGCAGCCAAAACAAUCAGGCCAAGAACGUCGACUUCAACGACCUAAGACACAAAGGGAAGCAAUACAUAUCAGAUGGGUGUCUCCUCACCAACCACCACAAGCAAUACAUAUCAGCCGUGAAAUCCAAAGCUGCAAGGAAUGUCGGCCACACACAUCUCCUAAGUUGUUCUCCUCUCGAGCAUUUUACCAUGACUGCAUUGGAGGGGACACACAUGCACACAACCAAAAUAUAUAUUGUCCGACUCCACAUGUGUAGUGGCACAGUAGCAAAACGGCUAGAACCUACAAGAAAGCAACAGACGAUGGGCUCUUGACAUCUUUCUCCUUUGUGACAUCUAAAAGAACAAUAGCCGAGGGGAGAAAACGGGCCAGAUCUGGAAUAUGAAAGUUUUUUUUAGCAAAACACAUGUCCAAUGUGGACUUGCCACGUCACUCCAAAGAGUGGGCUCAACAUGUCUGGAUUAGACUAAUUGGUUAAAUUGGGUAAAUCUGUCAGAUAUGUAUAAAUAAAUGGUAAAAUGUGGCUGAGAUUUUAAAACGAGGUAAAACACUAUCACAAAUUGCCAAAUAGGGGGUAAAAAGUAGAAUUCACUAUAAUUGUAAAUUACAAUGCUGUUAAUACUGUUAUUUUUAUAAAGAGAUUUCCCUCUGAUUUCUAUUAUAAGAAAUACAAUUAUAGUUCACUGCAAGGACGCAAGUUGCAACACUUCUAUCUACUCCCAAUCCAAGUCAUUUAUUUCCGAACAAAGGGAGUAGAAAAGUUUACCAUCAUAGUAGGUGAUAAGCAUCAUAUUUGCACUAUUUUCGGGCCAUAAUUAUAUCUGAAAUCUAGUAUUUGAACUCUAAAUUAUUCUAAAAUGUCAAGAAUUUAUAUGUAUACUUGUAAUCUGUGGCAAAAUUACAUUGCUUCAUCUCUUUUGUAGAAAAAGGGCGAAAAGGCCCAAAAUGAUUUUAAUAUGGAUCACCACUUCUACUCUGCUCUGCCCCAGGACCUGCCGGCAACAAGAUUACAUAAAAAGAGGGGCAAAACAUAAGAAUACCAAGCAAGGAAGGAUCUUCUUGAGGAGAGAGGAGAAAAGAUGGAGGGCUAAACUAUUCCCUCCCUUUAACAAAGAAUGUCUCAAAUGUAACCAAAUUUGAAUGCACCUAAACAUUAAGUCAUGUUUAAAUACAUCCACAAAUUUUAACAAACUUGAGACAUUUUUUGUUCGAAGGAGGGAGUAGAGUACAAUCUUGCAUACCAAUUCGGGAGAGAAAAGGAAGCCUGCAGCCUCAUUUCUAGGGUGUGCCUGGCACUUCUCCUUCCCCUGACCUCUUCUCCACCACUGGCCGCCGCCGCGGCCAGUCCAGCGUGGCGGCGCACCACCAAGACUCCCGUCGCCUCCAUCCACCGUCGACAAGAACACCAUCAGCUCCUCCGACGACCUGCAGCAAGCAAAUCUUCGUCUCCAUCCCCAAGGUUGCCUCCUGCUGCUCCUUCUCUGCCCCAACGCCUCUUGCUGCUCCUUCUCUGCACCCCCAUGCUGCUCCUUCUUGGCAUCUCCUCCAAGUCUGAAUGCUAGUGCUGCUGCUCUUCUCUUCCUCGGUCACAGCGACCGCCAAGUGUUCGAUGUAAUGUUCGCAAGUGUGAUGACGACUAAUCUUUACUCUCCCCUGCUCAAUCUUUUCUUACCGUGUGAUUGGUGUUGAUUUGUGAGAACUAAACCUUUGGUCUGUAGUAAUUUUGUUUCUUUUCUUGUGCUGUCCAUGUUAUGUCCCAAGUACUCAUGAUCUUAAAUAGUUGAACUGUGUGUUGAGCCUUGUUUAGCUUGUCAUAUUUGUGGUAAUUAUGUUGGCAGAUCAUGUUUAUUUUCGAGUUAUUGUGUGAAUGUGAGUACCUCAUGUGUUGUCAAUCUUUGCUGUGAGUAUUUAUUCUUGUUAUUGCGGCAAGAUAGUAGUAGUUUAUGUUAGCUAUCUAUGGUCGUGAAUUUUCUGUGCCAACCUCUCAAAAUUGCUGCUUCCCAGUUUCAGUACAGUCUGCUAGUGCUAACCUCUCAAAAUUUCUGUUCGUGAAUUGUUACCUUUCAGUUUGUUUCAAUGCAUGUCAUCUUGUCUCAUUGUUUUAAUUAGUUUCAGUCUUGUCUCUUGUUGUUUCGAGCUGUUUCGGUUAGUCUAAACUCCUCUUUUUCCUGCAAUUAUCAUCAGUUUUAUUGAUCUAGCUAUUGCCUAGCACAACCACCGCCGUUGCCUAGUCCCUGUGGAGAACCUCGACAAACACUACUAUAUUUGCAUUGAUCAGCAGCCAACAGCCAGCUACUACAGCAGUAAAAACACAAUUCCAGCAAAGAGAUGCCACCAGCGACCAAAACAAAUUAGGAACCACCAGAGGGAAGCUAGCAACAGCUCGCCUCCUGGACAACCUUGUCUGCAACAGGGACCAAAAAUUCAACCAAUGGCAUACCUGAAAUGCCAGAUUGCCCAAAAAUAGCAGAAAUAACCACGGAAGUAAUGUGUUUCUUCUCAAAAUUCUUGUUUCUUUGAGAGGAAAGUAUAUUUUCCGUUCCUCAAUAUAUGAGGAAAAGUACGCUCAACUUUUUUUGUAUUCUUUUUGUCCCCCAACUAUCGAAACCGGACAUCAAUGGUCUCUCGUCCGCCCAAAAGAGGUUUUGGUGCCAACAUAGCAAGGUUUUGCCCCUUGACUUGCCAUGUUGGCAUUUGGUUGACUGUCCAGUUGGACUGGAAACCUGGACAGCUGCUGACAGAGGCAGUGGACAAGACUAUCACAUUUUCUCCCAUCAGCGUGGGUCUACUCGAGCCUCUUAUUGGUUUUUGGGGCGAAAACAAAUAGACUCGGGCUAAAAAAGGGCUAAUGCCAGCAUGACAAGCUGACGUGGCGAGUUGGGGGGGGGGGGUGAUGCCAUGUUGGCACCAAAACCGCUUAAGGUGUGGACCAUUGUCCAGUUUCGAUAAUUGGAGUACAAAAAAUAUAAGAAAACUAGCGGGGUGACCCGUGCAGAUUGCACGGCUAGAUUUGUAUAAUGAAUAUGCGAUUAUAUUUUUUAUAAUAUAUUCAUUUUGUAUGCAAUUUAGAUGUUUUAUAUUUGGAAGUGUUUGAUAUGUGAGUAUUCUUUUAUUUUUACCUAACCAAAAUGUAUAGUUCUUUACUUGUUUUUGUAGAGUAGGUAUCACUAUAUGUUUUAGCCAGAGAGUUUUAUUUUAUUAUCAUUAUGUGCAACAGAAAAGUCUCGGGCUUGUAAAGAUAACAUAUGCCUUUUUGCUGCCUUUUUUUUUAGAUAUUUGAAAGUUUUCCUCUAGACAUCAAUGACGACAGAUAGAUUUUUUUUAUUCUUAUUUGUUACGAAUGAUGCAGUAAGCAUUGAUUUUUAUCCGGUCCAAUUUUUAUCUAUUAGACCCAUUGUCCAUUGUGUUGUAUAUCUUUUGCGAUAUAUUUUCGUUCACUUAAGGCACAAAAUCUUCCUUAUUAUGUCGUGUUGUUUCUAGUGUUGUUGCUACUUCCAGCGUUCAACAUCAAGAGUUGUUCGACUUUAGGUGUCCGUUUUGUUGUGCAUUUGGUGCGUUUAUUGUAGAUUGGCUUUCGGCUGGCAUUUUUGUCGAGGUCGGUUGUAGGUGCAGGCUUGGAUUCGUAGAUGGUGCAUCAGCGGGCGUAUUGAAGCCGGAAGUGCUUGCUAGACAUUUCUUUUCUUCUGAUACACAUAGCAUUACGCCACGUUGUUUCCUUUUUCAUCUCUUUCUUAAAAAUGGACCCGGUUUUGGCUACUGAAGUCCAAUUAGCUCUUCCUCUUUCGAUCAGCAUCAUGUCAUUUUCUGAACAUCUCAUAUGAACUCUGGUUGUGGCAUGGCAGAACGUCACCUGCAGUUGCAGUAGCUGGUUCUGGCUUGCCUUUUUCGCUACAGUCUUAAGCUUUCAAACAUAUGAUAAAUUUGCAUCGCCAUUUGCAAUUUUCUAUCUUUUCUUCAUAUUGUAUUUGUUGUAUAUAAUGUUUUAGUUGGUUCAUAUAUUCUAAAUAUGGGUGCAUUUAUUACUUUGCACUUGUUUCCAUGGCUACUACCGAAAGGCCGCAUAGGCGCAUAUUGGUGUCAAAUACGGUUGGUCGGGUUACGACACUUGUUUCCAUGGCUACUACCGAAAGGCCGCAUAGGCGGAUAUUGGUGUCAAAUACGAUUGGUCCGGUUACGCCGGGCCAGUGCUUGCUAAUAAUCAAACUAAUCUACACUGAUAGAUAUUAGCCGCACGUUAACUUUGACAUAAUCCAUUUAGUAGAAUUUCUAUUGUUUUAAUAAUAUAUAUUGAUUAAUAUAUAUCUACAUGAUUAAAAACCAAAAGAUAUUUCCCUGGAUCCGGCGAACUGCCAUGCCCGGAGCUCGUCAAGAGAUAGAUCGCAGAGGACCUCCGUAGCUCUUUGCUUAGAUUGGAAGACCUUUAGGUUGCGCUCGAGCCAUAGCUGCCACCACCCAAGCAAGAUGAUUGCACCAAGACGAUCACGCCGUGGCUUCAUUGUACAUCGCCUGUCCUCGGACAGCCACUAGUCGGCAAGGGAACCCACGAAGAGAUGCGGCACGGUAUGGAUGAGCACAUUCGUCUUUGAGAGAAGAGAAUUGCAGAAUUGGAUUGAGUAAGAGCAGUUCGCAAACACAUUGGUCUUUGGAGAGGUACGACAAAGCUGGCAGAUCGGA